This 53232-nucleotide long non-coding RNA is filed under the name Solanum tuberosum (potato). Its description in RNAcentral is "long non-coding RNA (STUB_LNC009120)". The record is from RNAcentral. Lineage: Eukaryota; Viridiplantae; Streptophyta; Magnoliopsida; Solanales; Solanaceae.
GUAUAUGCUGAAGCCUAAAAAACACAAAAAAAAACCCUAAGCCCUAAACAAUAAUCCUAUAAAACCCUAAGAAAACUUAACCUAAAAAACCCAAAGCCCUAAACCCUAAAAACCUACAUAAAACCGUUAAACUAAAACUCUAAACUGAAAAAAACUGUAAGCCCUAAACCCUAAACCCUAAUAUAAAACCCUAAAUCCUAAACCUAAAACCAUAAGAAACCCAAAAUCUUACAAACCCAAAAUUAAACCCUAAAACCAUUAAAACCCCUACAAAACCCUAAGCUCUAAACCCUAAAUCCUAAAAAUCUGUAAUCACUAAACCUAAAAACAAACAAAACCCUAAGCUUUAAUCCUAAAUCUUUAAAAAAAACCCAAAGAAACACUGAACCCUUAAAACCCUAAAAUACUCUAAGUUCUAAACCCUAUAAAGCCCUAAAUCGUAUAUAUUAAACCUUAAAAAACAUACACAAAAACCCUAAGCCCUAAACCCUAAGACUUUAAAAUCUUAAAAAAUCAUCAACCUAAAAAACCCAAAGCCCUAAACCUAAACCCUAGAAAAAACCUUGUACCUAAAACCCAAAACCUAAAAAACACCUAAAUUCUAAACCUAAAACGCUAAGAAACCCUUAACCUUCAAACUUAAGAAACUCUAAAUCCUAUAACACCUAAAAUAAACCCUAAAACCCAUUUAAAAACCCUAAGCUCUUAACCCUAAAUCCUAAAAAUCCAUAACCCUAAACCUAAAAAACACAAAAAAAACCUAAGCCAUAAACCUUCAACCCUACAAAACCCUAAGAAACACUUAACCCUUAAAACCCUAAAAACCCUAAUAUCCCCAAACCUAAAAUCUCUAAGCUCUAAACCCUAUAGAGCCCUAAAUUGUAUAUUCUAAACUUUGAAAACACAAAAAAAAAAAACCUAAGCCCUAAACUCUAAACCUAUAAAACCCUAAAAAAUCCUUAACCUGAAAAACCCAAAGCCCUAAACCCUGAAAACCAAGAUAAGACCCUUAACCUAAAGCCCUAAACCUAAAAAAAAAGCUAAUACCCAAAUCCUAAACCCUAACCUAAAACCCUAAAUCCUAAACCUAAAACCCUAAGAAACCCUUAACCCUAACCCUUAAGAAACCCUAACCUAAAACCCUAAAUCCUAAACCUAAAACCCUAAGAAACCCUUAACCCUAACCCUUAAGAAACCCUAACCUAAAACCCUAAAUCCUAAACCUAAAACCCUAAGAAACCCUUAACCCUAAACCUUAAGAAACCCUAAAUCCUAUACACCCUAAAAUAAACCCUAAAAAUUAUUCAAAACCCUAAGCUCUAAACCUUAAAUCUUAAAGAUUCGUAAACCCUAAACCUAAAAAAACACAAAAAAAAAUCCCAAGCCCUAAACCCUAAACACAAAAAACCCUUAAGAAACCCUAAACCCUAAAUGUUAAGAAACCUAAAAUCCUAUAAACCUUAAAAUAAACCCUAAAAACCAUUCAAAAUCCCUACAAAACCCUAAGUUCUAAACCUUAAAUCUUAAUGAUUCGUAAACCCUAAACUGAAAAAAAACAAAAAAAAAUAAUCCUAAGCCCUAAAACCUAAAAUACCCUAAGAAAAAGUUAACCCUUAAAAACUCUAAAAAAACCCAAAAACCCCUACAAAAAAACUCUAAGCUCUAACCCUAUAAAGCCCUAAAUCAUAUAUGCUAAACCCUAAAAACACAAAAGAAUUUGAAUCCCUAUACCCUAAAACCUAACCUAAAAUCGUAAAUCCUAAAGCUAAACCCUAAGAAACCAAACCCUGAACCCCAUCGCAUUUUCAUUUCAAGAAUUUUUUCUCUCUCUAAUUUCUCUCUAAGAAAGGUGCCCUAAAUUCUGCCAAUAACGGCUAUAAUCCCAUCUGAUACGCGCACUGCCGGAAUGGCGCGUGAGCCACCGACGGAGCUCCCCAGGCCACUGGACAAAGAUCAACAAGAGCGACAUGGAAAGAGCAACAAAAGCCAUCAAACCAAGCCCCAUAAUUCAUCCCAUAGCUCCUCAAAUUCGCAAAAUACUGAAGCGAUCAACACUGUGAUUUCAGAGAAGGAGCUGGAAGGAACUCAUAAAAUCAUUUCCCAGUAGGUAAUGUUUGGAUUCAUGGAAAAUUGAUAGGUGUUAUGGAAGCUCCUAAUCAUGAUCUAUCUUCUACCAAAAGUCCAACUGAUUCUACUGUCCCAAUUGAGAGAUCUCGUGAUGCAAUUUUGAAGGGAAUCGCAAAUAAAUUGCCAGAAGUACGCCCGCAAAUUCGAAGCUCUUCGGGUCAAGUUCUUGCAGAUUCAGCUACUGGGGAUUACUCCCCACAACUAGAAGUUCAUCUUACUGAAAUUUCAAUUGAAUUGGAUGGUGGAAUCAUCGGCGGUGAAGAUUUCAGCAAAACUUGAGGUCAACUCACCGGAGUUCAUGGAAUUUCAAUUAGAGGAACUAAUUCCCCUCCCCUAGACAUCCAUCUGUCGGAAAUAUCCAAUAAUAUCAAUGGAGGAAUCAUCAGAAGCACCAAUUCAAGGCAAUCAACAGAUGUUUCAGCUGAUGAUCCAAUGACCUUGAAUAGAAGGAAAAUUCAGGACAUUCAGCACAUUGAGGAGGAAGUAGCUGUAAUGGAGACACAUAAUUUGAGCAAACAACAAGACACAAAUCAAUCUAAAGAGGCUCAAUCUUCAAAUUUUUCCUUUGGUAUUGCAGGUAAUUCCAGGAACUUAACUUCACCUCUUUCAUCUGAUGCAAUGUAGGUUACAACAAUACAUGACAAAGGAGCUGAAGAAUCUGAUAAGGAUCAACAAAAAAAGGCUAGAGAAUCAGGUCAAGGACAUCAGGUCAAGGACAUCAGGUACAAAACACAGAAUUACAGGGCAUAUCAGAUCAAAACAGGAUAGCAGAAAAGACAAGGAUAAUCAACAACAAAGGAAUGGACAACCAACUCAAGGGCAACAAAAUCAAGGAAAGGCAAUGCAAUCAGUGCACAUACAUAAUGAAACAAAUGGACAAACUAGUAGGAAGGGUGAAUUGUCGAAACAAGUAGAUAACAAAGGAAACGAUAGCCAAAAUGACCAAAGUAAGGCCAUCACUCAACAUGUUUCGACUAAUGCAACCCAAAAUGACAAAGAAAGGGCCAACAUACAUUAUCAACAAAACUUUCCUAAGAUUUCCAACAAUUACGCAAGGUAUGAUCCUAAUCUUCAGAAAAAUAAGAGUGUAGCAAGUCAUGAUAACUAUGAUAAUAAUCAAGGUAAUGAGGGACAAUAAAACAAUCAGCAUCAUUCUCAAGCUCCUAAUAAGACUAAACAGGACAAUAUCCCUGAACUUGCUCCUUUUACUAUAAUUCAAUCGUGUGCUGCUAAACUUAGAUAUAAUCAGUCUAAGGGUGAAAUCCCUAUUGAAUUGGAUAGUCUAAUUCACACCAAUAGACAAGGGCUGCUUGUUGUGUUAUUAGAAGAAGAUGAUUACAAUAUCAAGUUGGAUGAAAGUUGCAAGUACACUUUAGUGGGCAAAUUUACAAACACCAUGCCAAAAAUGGAGGUGAUUAGGAGAAGCUUCAUACUUCAGACUCAACUUUCUAGAGGGGUGAAAAUUGCUCACUAUAACUCUCGACAUGUUUACAUCGAUUUGGACAAUGAGUUUGACUAUGUUACGAUCUGGACUAAACAAAGAAUGAGCAUUGAUGGCCAAUUAAUGAGAAUACAAACUUGGACUCCUGCAUUUAUCCCAGAGGAAGAAACCCCUAUAGUUCAUAUAUGGGUAGCACUGCUUGAACUCCCAUGGCACUGUUAUAACAAAGUUCUCUUGACGACUAUUCUAAGUUCCAUUGGUAAAGUGAUGUACCUUGAUUCUCCCACCUCUCAAAAGACUAGAGGCAGCAUGGCUAGAGUGAAGAUCCAAAUUGAUCUCACCAAGCCAAGGCCACCUCAUGUUUGGGUGGGAUUCAAGAAUUCAGAUCCCAAUAAAGGAAGGUGGCAAAAGGUGCAAUAUAAGGGAAUCCCAGAUUACUACAUGUACUGUAAACAUCAAGGGCAUAUGGAUAAUGUGUGUACUAUCAAAAGAAGAGAUGAGGAUUUCAAAAACAGGAGAAAAGUGGAAGCUGAAAAACAAAAUAGGCCUAAGGGUGACCAAGAGAAAGGAGGUACUAAGGUUAUACAGGUACAAGACAAGGACAAAACAGAGACAAAUACUAAGGCACAAGGUCAGCAACACUUAGUUCAAAAGAGGGGCAAUAAACCAGAUGAGAACCAAGGAAAGACUCAGCAUACAAAUCAACAACAACAGGCAGCUGCUACUAACCUACAAACAUACCAAGAGUAGGAAAAAUCAGACCAAGAAGAGCACUGGCAGAUUCAGAAGAGGAAACAAAAAAAAAUCAAGAACAGACUCACCCCAAGACUGCAUGGAGACCUGUCUCACUUCCACACAAAAGCACCAAGGAUAUUAUGAAAAAGGCACCAGAAACAUCAGGUAUAAGUCCUACUAUCUCUAUUCAUAAUAAUUACAUUGAUUCAGAAAUGCAGGAACAACAAGGUACAGGCAAUGUUGAAGAAUGCAACAAUAACAAAGUUUCAGACCAAGGAAUGCAAUCACCACAAGGGUCAGAUAAUGACUCACCAUACUUAAACCUUAACAAUAAAGCAAGUAUACACAAGGAACAUGUUGCAGCCAAUAAAAGCACAGGUAUUGAUUUUGUUAUCCCUAUAACCCAACUCCCUAGUAUUAGUUCUUUGAAAACUAUUGUAUAUGCUGAUGAAGCUGAAGGAGGUAUGGAUGGGGGUGUAAGGAGAAACCUAUUAACUUGCAGGAAGGGGUAUCCAAAGGGGGGAAUUUUACUCAUGUUCUGCAUGAGGUUGAAAACACUGACCCUAGGCUGAACUAUAGACCCCCUGCUACCACUACUUCAAGACACACGAAUCAGCAUAAUCAGAAGAAGCACAAUCCAAUGCAAGCUGAUGAUUCUGGUCAGUUUCAGGCAGAAACAAGGCUACAGGAUACAUAAAAUUUAGAUAUUUUGCAAGGUGAUGAUACAGGUCAGUUUCAAGAAGAUACAGGGUUACAACCUACAGAAAAUUUGGAACUUUUGCAAUGUCAAAAAUUUGGUAAUACUCCAACAAGUAUUGACAGAGAUAAUGGUCAGAAAUAACAGGGUUCAAGAGGUAAUGAUGGUAUAAAUACUCCUGGCAACAAACAUAAUUAUGAGGGUAAUCAUACAAGCCUAGAGGAACAUCAUCAACAUCACAACAAGGAAUCUGCAGGGAAACUAUCCAAUAACAAAUCCAGGGGCAUAUUGAGCAAGAAAAAAGAGACGCUAUCAAGAGAAAACAACAAAAAGAGGUUGAAAACCAAGAAAAAAAUAGGCAACAAUCAGAUUAUGAUGUGGUAAUUCAGAGGAUGAACUUGAUGAGGACACGCAAUCCCUCAAUGAAAAUGAUGAUGACGAGGAAGGGGAUGAAACCAAUGCUCAUUUGAUCAAGGCUUUUGGGUCUACUUUUCGAAGUGAAUUCCAAGAAGAGAUUCAAGAAGUGGCAGAUCAACAAGGCUUAUCUCCAAGGGGUAGAAAAAAAGUCAGACAGCUCAUUAAAUCAACAUCUAUCAGCACAUUUGCUAAAUCUAGCAGACCUAACACUAGGUCCAAAAGCAAAGGUUUUUAAUGAUUAGUACAAUAUGUUGGAAUGCUAGGAGCAUCAACACCCAAGGCUCUUUGGAAAUAAUCCAAAAUUUCAAGAAAAUGCAUAAUCUCGCCAUGAUAGCUAUUCUUGAACCUUUUGUACACAAUUCUCAAAUCAACCAUUACAAAAUUUAUUAUCUAUGGACAAUGAUUCUUGUAAUCACAAUGGUAAAAUUUGUCUUUUUUGGACCAAUGACAUAGAUGGUGAGGUGCUGGAAGUGAAUGAUCAACAUAUCACUUGUUCUACGAAGCAUGUGGAGCAUAAAGAGAAGUUUAUGGUCUCUUGCAUUUAUGUCAAAUGCAAAGAGCAUCUGAGAAGACCUCUUUGGGACAGAUUGUUCCAUUUUUCUAAUAUGGACACCCCUUGGUGCACCAUAGGUGACUUCAAUGUUAUUACAUCUAUGGAGGAAAAGUUUGGAGGUAUACCUUACAACAUGAACAAAAGCCUUGAUUUUAUCAAUAUUAUUGAGGCAUGUGGACUAGUUGAUAUUGGGUAUAGUGGUCAGCAUUAUACUUGGUGUAAUCAGAGAGCAGAAGAGGCUAGAGUGUGGAAAAGGUUAGACAGGGCUAUGGUCAAUGAUAAAUGGCAGGAGUUCAUUCCCCAAACUACUAUUACUCACCUUCCUUCUGUUGGUUCUGAUAACUGUCCAUUACUUAUGGAGAUGGAAGUUAGACUGGAGCACAAAAUCAAAUAUUUUAAAUUCCUGCACUACUGGACUGAAAAUGAGAAUUUUUUAGAUACAGUUAAAGGCUGCUGGCAGAAGGAAACUUCUGGGAAUCCUAUGUUGAGAUUACAUCAGAAGAUGAAAAUACUAGCUUCCACUUUGAGUACUUGGUCCAAGAAGGAAUAUGGCAAUAUAUUCUCUAGUGUUGUUAAUUUUGAGGAACAAGUCAAAGUCGCAUAAGAAGUUGUUCUACAACACAAUACUGAAGAAAAUAGAACCAAACUUCAUCUUAUCAAUGCUCAAUACAUCAAGUAUCUUAAAUUGGAAGCUUCCAUCGUGAAGUAGAAAACUCAACUCCAAUGGUUCAAGGAAGGAGAUACUAAUUCUAAGUAUUUCCAUUCCAUAAUGAGGGGUAGGAGGAGAAAACUGUUCAUCCACAAAAUUUGUACUGCUGAAGAUAUCUGGAUACAAGGAGAUGAAAACAUUGCUAAGAAAACCUGUGAUUACUUCCAACACAUGUUUUCAAGCCAUGAAGACAGGAUCAGGGAAGAAAUCCUUAAUUGCAUUCCUAGAAUGGUAACACCAGAACAAAAUCAGACACUCCAGCAAAUGCCUAAUCUGGAAGAAUUGACUCAAGUGGUGUUUUCCAUGAGCCCUAAUUCUGCAGCUAGCCCGGCUGGUUUUGGAGGAAAAUUUUAUCAACACUGUUGGGAAAUUAUCAAAGAAGAUGUUUUGUGUGCUGUCCAGUAUUUCUUCUGUGGAUAUACUAUGCCUAAGUUCAUUUCACAGCCUGGUAUUACUUCCUAAAGUUGAGCAUCCCAACAAGUUCACUGAGUUCAGACCCAUCAGCUUGAGUAACUUCUAUAAUAAAAUUAUUUCCAAGUUGUUAUGUCUCAAAUUAGCCCCUAUUCUACCUCAGUUAAUUUCUGAAAAUCAAUCUGGUUUUGUUAAGGGUAGGAGCAUAUAUGACAAUACUAUGCUUGCUCAGGAAAUCACUCAUGGUAUUAAAAAACCCAAUGAAGGUGACAAUGUGGUAAUUAAACUAGAUAUGACCAAGGCAUAUGAUAGAGUGUCUUGGCCUUAUACUUGUCUAGUUCUAAGAAGAAUGGGUUUUGGAGAGAUGUUUAUUGAUCUAGUAUGGAGAACUAUGAGCAAUAAUUGGUAUUCUGUGAUCAUUAAUGGUGCUAGAAAUGACUUCAUUCAUUCCACUAGAGGUCUCAAGCAAGGGGAUCCUUUAUCUCCAUCCUUAUUUAUUUUAGGGGUUGAGGUACUUUCCAGGUUGCUCAACAUGCUUCACCACCAUCAAAGUUACAAAUAUUUUCAAAUGGAGAUCAGGGGACCUCAAAUUAAUCAUCUAAGUUUUGCAUAUGACAUCAUCAUUUUCUCCUCCAUUACCGGGGACACCCUCCAGAUGAUCAUGAAGACUCUUUCCAUCUAUGAGACAGUGUCUAACCAGUUCAUAAACAAGGAAAAGAGUCAUUUCAUAGUUCCAGAGAAUACUCCUCAAGAUAACAUUGCAAUGAUCAGAGAAAUCACUUGUUUUAACCAGAAAGCUAGUCCUAUUACUUACCUUGGCUGUCCUUUAUCCAUUGGAGGGAAGAUAAUUAUUUACUACUAUGAUUUAGUGGCUAAAAUUAGAAGGAAAAUUACUGGAUGGCAGUCUAGAAUAUUAAGCUUUGGGGGCAAAGUUACAUUGGUGAAGCAUGUUUUCCAAUCAAUCCCCAUUCAUACAAUGUCAGCUACUUCUCCUCCUAAAACCACUAUUAGAUAUAUGAAGAGAGCUAUUGCUGAUUUCUUUUAGGGCUGGGAUAAGGAAAACAAGAAAUAUCAUUGGGCUUCUUGGGAUAAAUUGAGUCUACCUUAUGAUGAAUGAGGCAUUGGAGUAAGAAAACUUGAAGAUGUAUGCACCUCUCUUCAAUUCAAGCAAUGGUGGACUUUCAGAACUAAACAAACCUUAUGGGGGCAGUUUUUGAGGGCUAAAUAUUGCCAAAGGGCUCACCCUGUGGCCAAAAAACUUGAUACAUGGCAAUCCUUGGUAUGGAAUUUUAUGCUGAAAAAUAAAGGCAUUGCCGAGGCUCAAAUCAAAUGGUAGAUCAAUUCUGGUAAUAGUUCCUUUUGGUGGGAUGAUUGGUUAGGAGAGGCUCUUUUAGCCUCAUAUUGCACUCAUAUUACUAGUCUUAACACCACCACAAUCUCUCAAUUUAUGGUAGGUGGAAACUGGAAUGAGACUAUGGUGAGACAAUGGGUGCCCCCUCUUUUGGUUCCAAAUAUCUUGAGUAUUCCCAUUCAAUACCAAGAACAGGUCCCAGAUGAGGCAAUCUGGAAACUUACUGUUGAUGGCUUGUUUUCUUGCUCCUCAGCUUGGGAACUUAUUAGACAUAAAGGCAUUAAGAACAUCAUCAACAAAGGCAUCUGGCAUAGACACCUUCCAUUCAAGAUUUCAUUUCUAGUUUGGAGGGCCUUGAAGAGAAAACUUCCCACUAAUGAGAAGCUUACCAGCUUUGGAAAGGAAGUUGCUCAGUGCUCAUGUUGCUACAGACCUGGAGAAGACAAUAUAGACCACAUUUUUAUAUCUGGCCACUUUGCCAACAAUAUAUGGAGUUUUUUUCUCUGCGACUUUAGGUAUACAUCAUGAUCACAUCCCUAUACAAAUGUUGUUGCUGCGAUGGUGGAGACAGGAACACAAAAGUGAAGUACAGAAUUUGCUGAACCACUUACUUUCUUUGAUCAUUAUUUGGAACCUCUGGAAAAAUAGGUGUGCUGCAAAAUAUGGUGCAAAACAGUCCAACACAGCUAGAGUCAAGUUUUUAAUUCUUAAAGACACUACUCAUUUACUCAACACAACAUUUACCUAUAUCAAAUGGGCCAAUAAUUGGAAUGAUGUAUUUAGAAUGGUGGAGAAGUGCAGACAUGAGACUAUGGUUAGAAUUGUGAAAUGGGAGAAACCUAGUCAACCUUUGCUUAAACUUAAUACGGAUGGUAGUGCACUUAGAAUUCCUGGAAAAAUUGGUGGAGGGGAAUCUUGAGAGACCAUCAUGGGAGGAUGAUUUAAGCAUUAACUAUUCCUUUAGGAAUAGGUACCAACAACCAAGCUGAAAUCCAAGCUGCUAGCCAUGGUCUGUACUGGUGCAUCCAACAUGGCUAUCAGAAAAUACACUUGGAAGUUGACUCUGAAUUAGUCAUUAAGUGGCUUUCAAAACAGAUCACACUCCCCUGGAUCCUACAACAAUACAUUAGGGAACUACAAAACCUUAUCCAACAAUUGGAGCAGUUCAAAUGCACACACACCUACAGAGAAGCAAACAACACUGCUGAUUAUCUAUCCAAAUUUAGCCAUACUUCAGACAUCAUCCAGCAUUUUUACAUCAAGCAACAACUUCCUAUACUAGCAAAUGGAAGUUUCAUUUUGGAAAUACUAGACAUGUCAACCUUCAGAAGAAAGAGACUGAAAAGAAUUAAGAACCCUCCCUGAUCUUGAACCUGUUCUACUGGGAUUUCCUGUUUAGGUUUCCAGUUUUCUAGGUUUUUAUUCUUGUCUUACUUUUGUAAGGGGGGAGUCUCCCUUGUUUUAUUCUUGUCUUACAUAUGUAAGGGGAGAGUCUCCCUUAUUUAUGUUUCCUAGUUUCUUUAUAUCGAGAGGAGUCCUUUCUUCUAGGUACGUAAAUAUUAGGUUUCAUCUUUCUAAUAUAGGGAUGAGUGGACUUUCCUUAGUAGGAAGGACUAUUCUGAACCACCAUAAGACCGGAGGUAAGGUUUAUGUCCCCCUCCUUGUACUCUGUUUCUUUUAUUUAUGCUAAGGCCUGCGGGUAUUGCUAAGCCCCUGACGCCCCUAAAGGUCGUUCAAAUUAUAAGAAAAAACAAAAAAAAACCUAAAAAACCCUAAACCCUAAACCUUAAGAAACCCUAAAUCUUAUAUACCCUAAAAAUACUCUAAAACCCAUUUAAAAUCCCUACAAAACCCAAAGCUCUAAACCUUAAAUCCAAAAAAUUUGUAAACCCUAAGCCUAAAAAAGACAAAAAAAAAACCUAAGCCCUAAACCCCAAACCCUAAGAAACACUUGACCCUUAAAAACCCAAAAAAAACUUAAACCUAGAAAACUCUAAGCUCUAAACCCUAUUAAGCCAUAAAUAAUAUAUGCUAAAUCCUACAAAACACAACAAACAUUAAGCACUAAACCCUAAACAUUUAAAACCCUAAAAAACCUAAACCUAAAAAACCCAAAUCCCUAAACCCUAAAAACCUAGAUAAGACCAUUAAUCUAAAACCCUAAACAUUAAAAACACCUAAGCCCUAAACCCUAAACCCUAACCUACAACCCUAAAUCCUAAACCUAAAACCCUAAACCUUAAGAUAGACUAAAUCCUAUAAACCCUAAAAUAAAAAACCAUUUAAAACACCUACCAAACCCCCCUAAAUAUUAAAAACUAGUAAACCAUAAACCUAAAAAUCACAAAAAUACCCUAAGCCCUAUAACCUAAACCUAUAAAACCUUGAAAAAACUUAACUCAAAAAACCCUAAAAACCUAGAUAAAAUCCUUAACCUAAAUUCCUAAAUAUAAAACAACCCUAAGCCCUAAACCCUUAUAAAGCCCUAAAUUGUAUAUGCUAAACCCUAAAAAACACAAAAAAAAAAUCCUAAGCCCUAAACCAUAAACCUAUCAAAUCCUAAUAAACCUUAACCUAAAAAACCCAAAUCGCUAAACCCUAAAAACGUAGAUAAAAACCUUAACCCAAAACCCUAAUCCUAAAAAAAUCCUAAGCCUAAAAAAACCCUAAGCCCUAAACCCUAAACACUAACCUAAAACCCUAAAUCCUAGACCUAAAACCCUAAGAAUCCCUAAACCCUAAACCUUAAGAACCCUAGCUACAAAAUACCCUAAAAACCGUUUAAACCCCAACAAAACCCACCUUCAACCUAAAAAAUCCAAAAAAACCUAAACCGUAAGAAACACUUAAUCCUUAAAACUCAUAAAAACCCCUAAACCUAAAAACCUCUAAACUCUAAACCAUAUAAAGCCUAAAUCGUAUAUGCUAAAGCCUAAAAACACAAAAAAACCCUAAGCCCUAAACACUAAACCUAUAAAACCCUAAAAAAACUUAACCUAAAAAACCCAAAGCCCUAAACCCUAAAAACCUAUAUAAAACGGUUAAACUAAAACUCAAAAUUGAAAAAAACCCUAAGCCCAAAACCCUAAACCUUAACCUAAAACCCUAAAACCAUAAGAAACCCUAAAUCCUACAAACCCAAAAAUAUACCCUAAAACCAUUUAAAGCCCCUACAAAACCCUAACCUCUAAAUCCUAAAUCCUAAAAAUCUAUAAACCCUAAACCUGAAAACACACAAAAACCCUAGGCUGUAACCCUAAAUCUUAAAAAACCCUAAGAAACACUUGACCCUAUAAAAACCCAAAACCCCUAAACCUAAAAAACUCUAAGCUCUAAAUCCUAUAAAGCCCUAAAUCGUAUAUGCUACAUACACAAAAAACCCUAAGCCGUAAACCCUAAAUCUAUAAAAUCCCUAAAAUCCUUAACCUAAAAAACCCAAAGCCCUAAACCUAAAACACUAGAAAAAACCUUGUACCUAAAACCCAAAACCUAAAUACCCCCUAAAUUCAAAACCUAAAACCCUAAGUAACACUAAACCUUAAACCUUAAGAAACCCUAAAUCGUAUGAACCCUAAAAUAAACCCUAAAACCCUUAGCUUUAAACCCUAAAUCCUAAAUUCCGUAACCCUAAACCUAAAACACAAAAAAACACCUAGGCCAUAAACCCUAAACCCUAAAAAAACCCUAAGAAACACUUAACCCUGAACCCUAAAACCCCCAAACUUAAAAUCUGUAAGAUAUAAACCCUAUAAUGCCCUAAAUUGUAUAUUCUAAACCUUUAAAAACAAAACAAAAACCCAAAAUCCUAAACUCUAAACUUAUAAAACCCUAAAAAACUUUAACCUAAAAACCCAAAGCCCUAAACCCUAUAAACCUAGAUAAAUCCUUAACCUAAAACCCUAAACCUAAAAAAACCUAAUACCCAAACCCUAAACCCUAACCUAAAACCCUAAAUCCUAAACCUAAAACCCUAAGAAACCGUAAACCCUACACCCUAAACCUUAAGAAACCCUAAACUCUAUAAACCCUAAAAACCAUUCAAAACCUCUAAAAACCCUAAGCUCUAAACCUUAAAUCUUAAAGAUUCGAAAACUCUAAACUUAAAAAACACAAAAAAAUCCUAAGCCCUAAACCCUAAACCCUAAACCCUAAACCUUAAGAAACCCUAAAAACCAUUCAAACUCCCUACAAAACUCUAAGCUCUACACCUUAAAUCUUAAAGAUUCAUAAACUCUAAACCUAAAAAAAGACCCAAAAAAUCCUAAGCCCUAAACCCUAAACCCUAAAAAACCCUAAGAAACAUUUAACCCUUAAAAACUCUAACAAAACCCGGAAACCCCUAAACCAAAAAAACUCUAAGCUCUAACCCUAUAAAACCCUAAAUCAUAUAUGCUAAACCAUAAAAACAUUUAAAAAAAAACCCUAAAUCCUAAACCUAAAAUCCUAAGAAACCCCAAAUCUUAUAAACCUUAAGAAACCCUAAAUCUUAUAAACCCUUAAAACCCCUAAAAACCAUUUAAAAUCCCUACAAAACCCAAAUCUCUAAACCUUAAAUCCUAAAAAUCCGUACACCCUAAACCUAAAAAACACAAAAAAAAACCCUAAGCCUUAAACCCUAAACCUAAUAACCACAAUAAACCCCUAAGCCCUAAAUCCUAAAUCCUAAAAAUCUGUAACCCUAUACCUAAAAACACACAAAAAACUAUAAGCCAUUAAUCCUAAAUCCUAAAAAACCCUAAGAAUUAGUUAAGCCUUAAAAACCCUAAAAAAACCCAAAAACACCUAAAUAUAAAAUAAUAUAAGCUCUAAACCCUAUAAAGCCUUAAAUUGUAUAUGCUAAAUCCUAAAAAACACAAAAAAAAAAACCUACGCCCUGAACUCUAAACCUAUAAAACUCUAAAAAACCUUAACUUAAAAAACCCUAAAGACCUAGAUAAAAAUGUUAACCUAAAUCCCCUAAACCUACAAAAAAACCUAAGCCUUAAACCCUAAACCUAAACCUAAACCUAAACCCUGAAUCCUAAACCUAAAACCCUAAGAAUCCCUAAACCUUGAACUUUUAGAAACCCAAAAUCCUAUUAUCCCUAAAAAGCCCUAAACACCAUUUAAAACCCAUACAAAACCCUAAGCUCUAAACCGUAAAUCCUAAAAAUCCAAAAACCCUAAACAUAAAAAAUACAAAAAAAAACUAGGCCCUAAACCUUAAACACUAUAAAACCCUAAGAAACACUUAACCCUUAAAAACCAAAAACCCCUGAACCUAAAAAAACUCUAAGCUCUAAACCCUAUCAAGCCUUAAAUCGUAUAUGCUGAACCCUAAAAAAUCCAAGAAAAACCCUAAGCCCUAAGCCUUAAACCAUAAACAUAUAAAACCCUAAAAAACCUAAACCUAACCUUUAUCAUAAACCUAAAACCCUAAACUAUAAACCCUAAGAACCCUGAAUCCUAUAAAACCUCAAAAUAAACCCUAAAAUCCAUUUAAAAGCCCUACAAAAUCCUAAGCUCUAAACCCUAAAUCCUAAAAAUCCGUAAACCUAAACCUAAACCUAAAAUACACAAAAAAAAAACCUAAGCCCUAAACUCUAAAAACCCUAAGAAACACUUAACCCCUACACACCCUAAAAAACCACAAAAACCCUAAACCUAAAAACACUUUAAGCUCUAAACCCUAUUAAGCCCUAAAUCGUAUAUGCUAAACCCUAAAGAAUCCAAGAAAACCCCUAUGCCUUAAACCUAUAAAACCCUAAAAAACCUAAGCCUAACAAACCCAAACCUUUAUCCAAAACCUAAAACCCUUAGAAACCCUAAAUCGUAAACCUUAAGAAACCCUAAAUCAUAUAAAACCUCAAAGGAACCCUAAAAUCCAUUUAAAACCCCUACAAAAUCCUAAGCUAUAAAUCAUAAAUCCUAAAAAUUUGUACACCCUAAACCUAAAAAACAAAAAAAAACCCUAACCCCUAAAUCCAAUAAACCCUAAGAAACACUUAACCCCUACACACCCUAGAAAACCCAAAAUCCCCUAAAUCUAAUAAACUCCAAGCUCUAAACCCUAUAAAGACCUAAAUCGUAUAUGUUAAACCCUAAGAAACACAAAAGGACCCUAAGGCCUAAACUCUAUAUCUAUAAAACCCUAAAACAACCUUAACCUAAAAACCCUAAAACCUAGAUAAAACCCUUAACCCAAAAUCCUAAACAUAAAAAAUCCCUAAACCUAAACCGUGAACCCUACAUUCAACCACACAUAACCGAAAUAUGACCUCAAUGACAAGAUGAAUAUUAAGACUAUCGGACAACUAUCAAUAUCCAUGGGAGAUCUAUAAAUUCUCGUAAGCAAAGUGAUAAAUGUAGAACCACUCAAAUACUUCAACUACUCUAAGACAAUACUAAAUAUGUCAUAUCUAAAAUAACCAAGUUUGUCCAAACAGCCUACCCUACUAAGAGGGAAUCGUAGGAUUGGUACACCUGAUCCACCACUAGGGUUCACCCAUAUAAGUUAAAACAUGCAUGGGCAUAGAUAGUGAAUCAUACUCCAAAUCAUAUCCAGGACUAAAUUGGUGGUCACAUAAGAAUAUCCAGAAUAAAGGUUGAAUAACUCAAGAUACUCCUUAGAUAGUGCUCAUGUCAAACAUUUCCAUUCAUUUCACUCUAUCGCCUUGUUUUUUUGCCACCAACAAUCAAUAAGUUCGGUCUUUAUUACAAUCAUACACAUAUUUGAUUUAUCAAAACCAUACAUACUUCUCACAAUACUCAAUUGAAGCCAACACUCUUAAUACUAACAAACAUCAUAAGUACAUCGUCCAUUUACCAUACUCUCAAACUGUCACUCAUAUAAAAUUCUUCUUAGCAAACACAUUGUCGCCUCUAAUAAUUUCAAAUUAUGGCUCCCUCUCUUUCCAUUUAAACAUCCCAUGCUAGAUACAGGUCACAAGGCUGAUAGAACUAAUUUCAAAUCUAAUAGUACUCUAUCAUCGAGAUAGAACUAUUGAAUCACACCCAAUGUCGACUCUACACAGUGUUUCAUAUACCUAAUUUCAAAUACCAUUCAAACCAUUAUACACCUCAUACCAACACUUAAGAAAUUCUUGGUCAUGUUUAUAUACUAGGAGCACAUAACCUCUAUUUACUAUCAAGUGUCUAUGUAACACAGCACAUCAGCGUGUGUAGUCUCAUUUAAAAUAGUAGUUUCACUCCCCUCGAAAUUCUCAAUAACCAUGUAUAACUGUAGGUGUAGAGUGUUGGGCAUCCAUAAGUCACCUACCAUAAUUUCAACCAUUUAUCCCCACAUAACAACACAUAAACCCUAAAAUCCAUUUAUAAACACUAAGAAACCCUAAAUCGUAAGAAUUUGUCAACCCUAAACCUAAAAAACACAAAAAAAUCCCUAAGCCCUAAACCUUAAACACUUAAGAAACACUUAACCCUCAAAAACCCUAAAAAACACAAAAAACCCUAAACCUAAAAAACUCUAAGCACUAUACUCUAUAAAGCCCUAAAUCUUAUAUGUUAAACCGUGAAAAAAAAACACAAAAAGUUCAAAAUCCCUAAACCCUAAAAACCAUAAUCUAAAAAACCUAACCCCUAAACCCUAAAAACGUAGAUAAAACCCUAACAACGUAGAUAAAACCCUUAACCUAAAACCCUAAACCAAAAAAAAACAUAAGCCCUAAACCCUAACCUAAAACCAUGAAUCCUAAACCUAAGACCCUAAGAAACCCUAAACCCUAUACAUAAAGGAACCCUAAAUCCUAUAAACUCUAAAAUAAACUUUAAAAACAAUUCAAAACCCCUACAAAACACUAAGCUCUAAACCCUAAAUCCUAAAAAUCCAGAAACCCUAAACAUAAAAAACAUAAAAAAAAACUUAAGCCCUAAACCCUAAACCAUAAAAAGCACUAAGAAAUACUUAACCCUUAAAAGCAAAAAAUCCCUUAUCCUAAAAAACUCUAAGCUCUAAACCCUUUAAGGCCCUAAAUCGUAUAUGCUAAACCCUAAAAAACACAAAAAAAAAAACGCGCCCUAAACCCUAAAUCUAUAAAAAAAAACCUAAAAAAACCUUCAGACAAAAAACCCAAAGCCCUAAACCAAAAACUCCAGAUAAAACCCUUAACCUUAAACCCUCAACCUAAAAACCCCUAAAUUCUAUACCCUAAAACCUAAAGAAACCCUAAAACUUAAACCAUAAGAAACCCUGAAUCCUAUAAACCCUAAACUAAACAUAAAACACAUUUAAAACCUCUAGUCUCUAAACCCUAAAUCCUAAAUAUCCGUAAACCUAAAUAAAAAAAACACAAAAAAACCUAAGUGAUAAACCCUAAACCCUAAGAAACACUUAACCCUUAAAAACCCCUAAACCUAAAAUAUUAUAAGCUCUAAACCCUAUAAAGCCCUAAAUCGUAUAUGAUAAGUCCUAAAAAAUACAAAAAAACUCUAAUCCCUAUACCCUAAACCUAUAAAACCCUGAAAAAGCUUAACUUAAAAACCCUAAAAACCUAGAUAAAACCCUUAACCUAAAUCCCUACACCCUAAACCCUAAACCCUAAACCCUAACCUAAAAUAGUAAAUCCUAAACCUAAAACCCUAAGAAACCCUAAACCCAAAACCUUUAGAAACCCGAAAUCCUAUAAUCCCUAAAAAACCCUAAAAUCCAUUUAAAACCCCUACAAAACCAUAAGCUCUAAACCUUAAACCCUAAAAAUCCAUAAACCCUAAACCUAUAAAACACAAAAAAAGACCCUAAGCCUUAAACCCUAAACCCUAAAAAAUCCUAAGAAAUACUAAACCCUUAAAACCUUUAAACCUAAAAACCUCUAAGCUAUAAAACCUAUAAAUCCCCAAAUCGUAUAUGCUAUAACCCAAAGAAACCCUAAACCCUAAACCAUAAGAAACCCUAAAUCCUAUAAACCUUAAAAUAAACUCUCAAACCAUUUAAAACCCCUACAAAACCCUAAGUUUAAAACCCUAAAUCCUGAAAAUCCGUAAAACCUAAACUUAAAGAACACAUAAAAAACCCUAAGCCCUAGACCCUAAAAAACCGUAAGAAACACUUAAACCUUAAAGAUCCUAAGAAACGCUUAAACUUUAAAAUCCUAAAAAACCCAAAAACCCCUAAACCUAAAAAAGUCCAACCUCUAAACCCUAUAAAGCCCAAAUAGUAUAUGCUAAACUCUAAAACACACCAAAAAUAACCCAAAGACCUAAACCCUAAACCUAUGAAACACUAAAAAACCUUAACCUAAUAUCCCUAAGCCUUCAACCCUAAAAAAUAGAAAAACGCCAUAACCUAAAGCCAUAAACCUAAAAACUCCCUAAGCCCAAAACCUUAGCCUAAAACUCUAAAUCCUUAACCUAAAACCCUCAGAAACCCUUAAGCCUAAACCGUAAGAAACCCUAAGUCCUAUAAACCCUAAAAUAAACACUAAAAACAAUUUAAUACCCCUAAAAAACCUAAGCUCUAAACCAUAAAUCCUAAAAUUCCAUAAAAAUUCUAUACUCUAAAUCCUAUUAAGCCUAAAAUUGUAUAUGCUAAACCCUAAAAAACACAAAAAAAAACCUAUCCCCUAAACCCCAAACCUAUAAAACCCUAAAAAACCCAAAAACCUAAACCCUAAAAACCUAGAUAAAAUCCUUAUCCUAAAACCCUAAGCCUGAAAUCUUAAACCAUAACCUGAAACCCUAAAUCCUAAACCUAAAACCCUAAGAAAUCCUAAACCCUAAAUCUUACGAUACCCUAAAUCCCAUAAACCCUAAAAACCAUAUAUAACCACUAAGAAAUCCUAAACCCUAAGAAAUCCAAAAUACAAAAAAUCUGUAAACCCUAAACCUAAAAAAUACAAAAAAUCCCUAAGCCCUAAACCUUAAACCCUAAGAAACACUAAACCCUUAAAAACCCAAAAACCCCUAAACUCAAAAAAAAACUCUAAGCUCUAAACCCUAUAAAGACCUAAAUCGUAUAUGUUAAACACUAAAAACCACAAAAAAAAAACCUAAGCCAUAAACCCUAAAAAACGUUAACCUAAAAAAACCAGAACCCCUAAACCAUAAAAAAACUAGAUAAAAUCCUUAACCUAAAACCCUAAACCUAAAAAAACACUAAGCCCUAAACCCUAAAUCCUUACCUAAAUCGUAAAUCUAAAAGCCUCAGAAACCCUAAACCUUAAGAAAACUAUAUCCUAUAAACCCUAAAAACCUUUUAAAAUUCCUACAAAAUCCUAAGCUCUUAACUAUAAAUCCUAAAAAUCGGUAAACCCUAAACCUAAAAAUAAAAAUUUAAAACCCUAAGCCCUAAACCAUAAACCCUAAAAAAUCCUAAGAAACACUUAACCUUCAAAAACCCUAAAAAAUACAAAAACACUUAAAUGUAAAAAACUCUCAGCUCUAAAGUACUCUAUAAAGCCCUAAAUCUCAUAUGUUAAACCUUAAAAAACACAAAAAGUCCCGAAUCCCUAAGCCCUAAAAAAACCAUGAACUAAAAAACCUAAGCCCUAAACCCUAAAAAUCUAGAUAAAACCCUUAACCUAAAAGCCUAAACCUAAAAAAACCAUAAGCCCUAAACCUUAACCUAAAACCAUAAAUCCUAAACCUAAGACCCUAAGAAACCCUAAACCCUAAACCUUAAGAAACCCUAAAUCCUAUAAACUCUAAAAGAAAUCCUAAAAACCAUUCAAAACCCUAAGUUCUAACCCUAAAUCCUAAAAAUCCGUUAACCCUAAACAUAAAAAUAUAUAAUAAAAAAAACUUAAGCCCUAAAGCCUAAACCGUAAAAAAUCCUAAGAAAUGCUUAACCCUUAAAAGCCUUAAAAACCAACAAAUCCCUUAACCUAAAAACCUCUAAGCUCUAAACCCUAUAAAGCCCUAAAUCGUGUAUGCUAAAUCCUAAAGAACAGACAAAAAAACCCUAAGCCCUAAACCCUAAAUCUAUAAAAUCCUAAAAAAAAAACUUAACACAAAAAACCCAAACCCUAAACCUAAAACCCUAGAUAAAACCCCUAACCUAAAACCCUAAACCUAAAAAACCCCUAAAUUUUAUAACCUAAAAACCCCUAAAACCUAAAAAACCCCCUAAAUUUUAUAACCUAAAACCCUAAGAAGCCCUUAAACUUAACCCUAUAAAUCCCAAAAUCGUAUAUGCUAUAACCCUAAGAAACCCUAAACCCUAAACCAUAAGAAACCCUAAACCCUAAACCAUAAGAAACCCUAAAUCCUAUAAACCAUAAAACAACCAAUAAAACCAUUUGAAACCCCUACAAAACCCUAAGCUCUAAACUCUAAACCUAAAAUCUGUAAACCAUAAACCUACAAAACACAAAAAACCCUAAGACCUAAACCCCAAACCCUAAGAAACAGUUAAACCUUAAAAACCCUAAAAAAACCCUAACAAACACUUUAACCUUAAAACCAUAAAAACUCAAAAACCCCUAAACAUAAAAAACUCCAAGCUCUAAACCCUAUAAAUCACUAAGUAGUAUAUGCUAAACCCUAAAACACACCCAAAAAAAAUACUAAUCCUUAAACCCUAAACCUAAAAAUACUUAACAUAAAAUUCCAAAGCCCUAAACCCUAAAACAUAGAUAAAACCCUUAACCUAAAAAAUCCCUAAGUCCUAAACCCUAUACACUAACCUAAAACCCUAAAUCCUAAACCUAAAACCCUAAGAAACCCUUAACCAUAAACCUUAUGAAACCCUAAAUCCUAUAAACCCUAAAAUAAACACUAAAAACCAUUUAACACCCCUAAAAACCCCUAGGCUCUAAACCAUAAAUUCUAAAAUUCCAUAAACCCUAAACCUUAAAAGCACAAAAAAAAACCUAAUCCAUAAACACUAAAUCGUAUAAAACCCCAAAAAAUACUUCACCCUUAAAACCCUAAAAAACCCAAAAAGCCCUAAACCAAAAAAACUCUAAGCUCUAAACCCUAUAAAGCCCUAAAUCAUAUAUGCUAAAUCCUAAAAAAUAAAAUGUAACCCUAAGCCUUAAACUCUAAACCUAUGAAACCCUGAAAAACCUUACAUGAAAAACCAAAAUCCGUAAACCCUAAAAAACUAGAUAAAACCCUUAACCCAAAACACUAAACCUAAAAAAUCCCUAAGCCCUAAGCCCUAAACCCUAAACCUAAAGCCCUAAGAAACCCUAAACCUUAAGAAACCCUAAAUAAUAUAAACCCAAAAAUAAACCUUAAAACCAUUUAAAACACCUACAAAAUCCUGAGAUCUAAACCCAAAUCAUAAUAAUCCGUAAACCCAAAACCUAAAAAUCCAAAAAACCCUACGAAACACUUAACCCUUAAAACCCUUAAAAAAUAUAAAAACUCCUAAACCUAAAAAUCUCUAAGCCCUAAACCCUAUAAAGCCCUAAAUCGUAUAUGCUAAUUCCUAAAAAACACCAAAAGCCCCUGAGCCCUAAACCCUAUACACUAACCUAAAACCCUAAAUCCUAAACCUAAAACCCUAAGAAACCCUUAACCCUAAACCUUAAGAAACCCUAAAUCCGAUAACCCCUAAAAUAAACACUAAAAACCAUUUAAUACCCCUACAAAACCCUAAUCUCUUAACAAUAAUUCCUUAAAGGCCGUCAACCCUAAACCUAAGACACACAAAAAACUCUAAACCAUAAACCAUACACCCUAAAGCGUAUAAAACCCUAAGAAACACUUUACUCAUAAAACCCUAAAAAACCCAAAAACCCCUAAACCUAAAAAAUUCUAAGCUAUAAACCCUAUAAAGCCUUAAAUCAUAUAUGCCAAAGCCAAAAAAACACAAUAUUACCCUAAGCCCAAAACCCUAACCUAAAAAACCCAAAGCCCUAAACCCUAAAAAACUAGUUAAACCCUUAACCUAAAACACUAAACAUAAAAAAACCCUAAGCCCUAAACCCUAAACCCUAAACCUAAAACCCUAAAUCCCUAAGAAACCCUAAAUAAUAUAAACCCCUAAAAUAAACCCUAAAAUCCUUUAAAACCCCUACAAAACCCUAAGAUGUAACCCUAAAUCCUAAAAAUCCGUAAACCCAAAACUAGAAACACACAAAAAACCACUAAGCUCUUAACCUAAAACCCUAAGAAACACUUAACCCUUAAAAAACCUAAAAAACACAAAAAAACCCUAAACCUAAAAAACUCUAAGCUCUAAACCCUAUAAAUCCCUAAAUCUUAUAUGCUAAACCCUAAAAUAAUAUAAAAAAUCCCUCAGCACCAAACCCUAAACCCUAAACCUAAAAAUCCCAAAGCCCUAGACCCUAAACCCUAAAAACCUAGAUAAAACCCUUAAUCUAAACCCUAUACCUAAAAAAUCCCUAAGUCCUAAACCCUGAACCCUAACCUAAAUCCCUAAAUCCUAAACCUGAAACCUUAAGAAACACUACAAGAAAAAUGAUUUUUAACGACCAAAUUUUAACGAAAGAAUAUAAUUCCGGCCGUUAUGAGUAUAUUUACAACGUCAAUUUUUUUUCUAUUCAUUAAAAGACAAUUUUAAUGUUGUAUUAAUAAGGCAACAAUAUUCGCACCUCAAAUUUUUUUAUAUCCAGACGUUAAUAAUGAAAAAUUGACACAUAUUUUUACUUUUCCCUUUUAUUUUUAACAAAAGAAUUAUUAUACCCCACCCCUAUAGCUCGUCUCCCAUUAUCCCCAUCCCCCUACUGAUGGUCUCACGUUAUCCCCCACCCCUAUGUAAGAAAACAUAACAAAGAACUGAUCUCGAUUUCUCCGCAGACGCUCACGCUCACGCACACCCACUCCCCCACCCCUGCGAAAGGAUGCGUAUGUUUCUCCACCAGAACGUGUCUUCCAUAUUCUCUGUUACCUAAGGGAGUUAAUAACUCAAAUUAGUCCUUAAUCAGAGUGACUCUUAAGUUCCAUUGCAGAACUGAUUUGCUCGAGAAAUAUCAGCAAAGCACACCACAAUAAUGGUAAUACCGUUCCUAAAAUUCAAGUUUGUUUGCGAAAAUUAAGCUAUAGCCCUCUGUUGAAGCUCUUUAUAAAGGAAAUCAAUGUCUAUUUUUUCUAAUUGCAGAAGUUAACUUUUUCUUUUAACUUCAAAUUUCACCUGAGUUUUGUUGGUCUUAGCUGCGUGUGAUAGUAACUUGACAUAUUCUUGGAUUUUCCUUCUCUUCAAAGUAUGUUUAGGUUGUUUUGACUAUGAAUUGUUAUGUCAAAAUUCUGAUUUUAACCAUUUUUGUGUUUAUUCUUUAUGAUUCAUUAGUUUUUUCAGUAGGUUUUUGGUGCACAUGCUCUUAAAUUAUGUAUACUAGUCAUUAUUACAGGCAUAUGUUUGUGGGUAUUGAUGUGUGUACUGUUGGUAGCCUCGAUUGACAAUUAAAAGAAGUCCCAAUAAUGAAAUUAUUAAAUAAUUUGUUAGUCUCAUAAUUUAUAGGUUUUCUUAUUCCUGUUUUGUUAGGUUUUCUUAUUCCUGUUUUCUAAGGUUUUCUUAUUCCUGUUUUCUUUAUAUUAUAUUUGUUAUUGUUCUGGUCAUAACAAAGUAAAGCUGUAGAACUAAUAUGAAUUCAAAAUACUAUCUUUUCAAUAACCAAAUGAGUGGCCGAGGACCUGACCUUCUAUGUACAUAAGAUGCUUUACAAUCUUUAAAAAAAUGUAGCAAGGAGAAAUUUUAUAUAAUCUUUUUGUUAAUCUAUGGUAACUUUAAUUCUGUAACUUACAAAAAAGAUUAGUUUUGUUACACCAAGUGUAAUGUAAGAAAUUCGACCCUAGUCUUAUUGGUAUUGUUGUAUCUGUGUUGCUUUAUUACUUUAUGAUUAUUUUGUAUCAUCUACAAGAACAGGUAAACAUCUUGAAUUUUCCCAUCAAGGUGGGGAAUAAGAAAUGGCUGAACUGUCACUGUGCAAACUUUGAAAACUUGGCUGAAUAUAAUAUUCACUUGCAGGAAGCCUUGUUUUAGCUUAGCUGCAUUAUAAAAAUAUGGCUCUUCUUUUAAGGAGAUUUGAAAAUGUUACUUCUCCACCAAAAAGGAGCAUACCCCACUUACUCAACUUUUGUUUUUCUUACUUUUCUUUUGAGUUCGUUCAACAAUAACGUUCUAUAAUCUUUCUUUUUAGCAACUCUUUAGUUUCAAAUAUCCACGUAACAUAUCUAUGAUCACAAAAUUAAAGGAUAUUUUAAUACGUUCUACGUAUCUUUUAGUUUAAGACCAUAAUAUUCUAAAGUUUUGUGUUUUCUUUCUUAAGCUCUUUAUCAUUUCAAAACCAGAGAGUUUUGUCUGUCACACUUAAGAGGUUCACUUUCCACAUUCAUUAGUAACUCAAAUCACUCUCUUUCCAUACCUUUCAUUAUGUCAUGUUCUAACAAAAUCUUUCUAUUGUUUCUUUCAUUUCUUCUAAUUCAUCCUCUUGAAUCUGUUCCUAGUAUCAUCCCACUAAACGGUUCAUAUACUGAUAAAUGUGGUAAAUCUUUUUAUUGUUUCUUUCAUUUCUUCUAAUUCAUCCUCUUGAAUCUGUUCCUAGUAUCAUCCCACUAAACGGUUCAUAUACUGAUAAAUGUGGCAACAUUGUCCAAAAAUAUCCCUUAGGUUUUGGUUUUGGUUGUGGAUCCUGCAUUUCAAGAUUCAUAAAAUGCACUACUUCUAGAGUUCUUCAAUUUUCACUACCUCUGGCAUUUAUACUAAAUCCUCACUAGACUACUCAACCAACACACUUGUUUUAACUAACCCCUUUAUGUCAACAUGUUCCUCAUUGCAGAAUUCAGGUAGUUUUUACAUUGGAUAAUGAUGAUUCAACUUCCUUUAUUAUUAUAAAAUAGAACAUGUUUGUUUUACUAGGAUGUUCAACAAUAUCUAUUGUGUUUGAUCCAAAAUAGGACUUGUGUGAUAGCGGUUUGGGUUCAAAUGUGUGCAGGGAAAUGUAUUCUUGUAGAUGGGUGACUGGGAUUGUAUUAGAACCAAAUGUCCAAUUUCAACAUGUUGUGUUUAUGAUCCCCUAUUUCCUGUAGGUUCCUGUUAUGGUUUGAUCUUGCCUAGGCUUCGGUGUUCUUCGUAUUCAUCGAUAUAUGGUUUUGGAUCCUAUGAAAUGGGAGUUUAGGAUUUCUUUGCUGUAUAAUGAUUCAUAUUAUGUUGAUGAGUCUUACAAUAACUGUGAGGAUAUUGUUGGAUCUUGUGGUAUUUCUGGUGCAGAUGAGUCUUUUGCUUGCACUUGUAGGAAUGGUGUCCUAGAGAUGUAUUAAGCCAUUUCUUUGCUAAGCAAUAAAUAACUCACGUUCUAAUAAGGAGUGAUAGCAGCAUCUUGAUGUUACCAUACCAAAACCUCAUUGUCUAUACCUUUUCUAGUCUAUAAAGGUUAUCAUCAUUGUAAUCAUUAGCUGGAAUUCCCCUUCCCUUUCUGGCCAACAUCUUCAAUCUUUUUUUUCCUUUAUUUUGUACCUGAAUUAGUGUAGUUGUUGCCUUACCCUUCCAAAUAGUUUUAGUUAAUGAAUAAGACAAAUCUGUCAGUAUUAAUAAAUCACUCUCCGCUAGCAUCUCCAUUAAAUUCAAUUCUCGUUGAUCCAACUACUGGCUUUGGUUUUUUAUUCCUUCUACAGCAUUGUCAUUUCCUAAGAAUCAGCUAUUGGCUUGGGUGACAGCUUCUGGUGGUCCAUGACUUGGGCUACGUCAACUUUUCAAAAUUUAAUAGUAUGUGGUAUUAUAAGCAUGAUUAAACUCUACUAUUUACUAUUCAAAUGCAUAGCCUGCUAACGAUUAAAAAAUUCAUAUCUCUGUUUAAUAUAAUUUCAGACGUGGGAAAAGUGUUGUAUAUUAAUAUAUCAAAUAGCACUAAAUCAAUAACUAUGUUUAAAGAGUUUUUUCAUGUGGAGUUCUGACCGUAAAUACAUGUUCUUUCCCUAUGUAUCAUCUACUUUGACAAUCCAGUGGCUUGUUUUCUUUGAAACUCCAAACUCACUGUCUCUCUUUGUCAUUCUAGUCACCCAUAAACCUUCUCCUAUAGGUAACAAAUAAGCAUUGAAGUUUUCAGAUCUCCAUGAUCCCCCAUUCACAACACGUUAUACCCCAUAUCAAUUUUAUCUUCUUAAAUGUCAGUACCAGGGAAUUUACCUAACAGAUUCAACAACUUUGUUACUGAUGUUAUUUCCCAAUCAUUAAGUAGCCUCCAGAAAGUCAAAUUCCACCCUUGUGAUGACCAUAUUUCUUGUAUGCUACACUUAGGGUUAACACAUCCUUUCUGUUCUCCAUGUAUUCUUUUUUUCUUUGAAAUUGGAUGAACUCUUUGAAAUAGGAAAUAUACAUUAUUGGAAAGCUAUACUGAAAUUUUGUCUAUGUGAUAGUACUUCUAAGGUUGUGUUGUUGGAAGAACUGAAAACAACUCGAAAAGAAAGGGAAUCACUACAAAAGCGUAUCGAUAUUCUAGAGAGUAAAUAUGAUCGCCUUGAAAGUAUAGUGGUUCGUCAGCAUACAUCAUCUCCAUUACCUCCAUCACCUCCACCAGGUUAUCAAACUUUUCAUUAGCUAUUCCAUGAUGUGUAUUUUUCAAUGAAUUUAGUGAUGUCAUUAACAAAUGCUCAUCUUUGAUAAGGGCUUUGCUAAUGCAGUGGUCUGUCUUUGUAUGAUAGGUUGAUUUUAGAGGGUAGACAGUCUUUAGUUGUAUUACUUUCCAUGAUGAACAAGACUACAUGCUUAUAGAAUUAUGCGUAUCUCUAUUUUAAUUAGGAUGUAUUCCUUUGUUCUGAACUGAGUUCCUUUUCUGCAAGUUCACCUUAGUAUUUGUGUUGCAUGUUAAAUCCUUAAUGUGUUACAGUUUUAGAAUAAUGAUCUCUAAACUUGAUAAACGUUCUGAAUUAUGUAAAUGCGAAAGAUGUUUAUCUCAUUUUAGUCUAUCUCCAUAAUAAGGUUCACAGUCACAUGUAUAGAACAACUUGUAUUUAUAGAAGAAGUGGUCUAAGGUAGAUAAUACUACUUUCAUCGAUACAUUUCUUAUACUGUUGGAUGUUUGUUUCUUGGUAAUCAGAAUAUUUUUUGGUUAGCAGGGAUUUUUCAUUCAUAACGAAACUAUUUAGUACAAACAAAGCAGUGAUGGCCUAACUGCUAUAUAUCAUUCUAGCCUAUCUAUAUUACUAUUCAUUAUGACAUACAAAGCAAGAAUCAUUUUAAGUUUAUUACACUGUAAAAAUGCCUUGGGAUAUAGAUUUAGAUUUUGACGUACAGGCAACCAGUUUGCCUUUUGCUAGUCGCGGAGAUGAAUAUGCAUCACGACCUCCCUCAAGACCAUUUUUGGGCACAUUCUUUCCUUUUGGAAUCUGAUUUUGUUCCUUCUCUAUAUAACAUAGACUAGCAUGACAAACACACUAGUAGAAAUUUUUGGCUCGUCCUACACUCUUUUUGCAAUAUCACUGAUUCCAGCCCAUUCUAUUCUCUGGUAAAAAAUAACCCUGUGAAAUCCCAACCAGCUGCAAAAUCUACCCCAUAAAAGUCUGAUCAAAAGUUUCCCCUAUUUUACAACAAAACACAGUCAUGUGGCAUUUGUAUACUAAUUUUUUCAAGCAUGUCUACUUUUGCUAGUCUUCUUUGGACAGUCAGCCACAUAAUAAACUUGAACCUAGGGUGCACUCCAAGUUGGAAGGUAGUACUCUUCCACUCAAGUCUGGGAAAUAUGGUCAUAAGAUAGGUAUACAUCUUCUAAGUGGAGAACUUGACUCCCCUCUGUACCUUUGCAAACUCAGCCAUCAAAGCACCCUAACUAGUUUGUCCUUGUAACAAUACAUCUCCAAACCCCAAUAUAUUCCUCACUAUCCAUGAUGCAGAUUUAGGUAUGAGGAUAGUUUCAAUUCCCCUUCUUUUGAUAAAAUAACUGUGUACCCAUCAGAUACAUAGACAGUCCUUCUUUCUUGCUACAUUCUGCAAUUGCUAAUUAAGAAUUAAGUAUUGCUACAAGUUAUAGUGAGUUCUUGAAAAGUAUUGUACAUUUGCUUUGCUUCUUACUUAUAUGCUUUGUUUGCUGAAGAAUCUGCAAGAAAAUUCCCCUCAUUCUAAACAUGUAUGACUCGGAUGUUGAAUAGUUGUUGGAGUAUGCUUAUUUAUAGAUAUGUAACUGCCAUAUACCUACUUACAUAACUCAAAAAAUUAAAAGCUACAUCUAUCUAAUAAAAGUCUGGCUGUGCAGUAGCUCUAACAGAACAAACACAAGCAACUCUACAGGUUAUAUCUUCCAUUGUAGCCUCAUUCCUCUCAAAACCUUUAGUAUUCAUGUCCUUCAAAUUAAAUUGCAUGAAUGAAUUCUGUAUAGUCUAGUUGAAUAGUUGAGCCUGGUGGAUUUCUCCAAAUGCUAAGACACUGUUGGAUCCUCUUUUCAGCAAUAUAGGUGAUGUAUGGAACAUACAUUGUACAUUUGCUUCUAAAAAAUGAGAGAGAUAAUUGAUGUUGAUAUGAUAUAAUUUCUUUAUAAAACAACUUGUAACAACUCAAACAUGUUGGCUCUUGUAUAAAAAUGAUAUUCUUCACUUGGACUAAAUGAUAUAUAGCAAUCUAGAAAAAGGCUUAGAAUGCUUUUUAUGUUGCUUUUAAUUCAUAAAAUGUUUUCUUACCGAAAAAACUUAGUAACAAUUAUUGAAACUAGUUGUCAUGUAACAUAAAAUAGAAAAAAGAUCAAUUGAUCAGGCUUGCUAGACGAGAGAAUAAAUAGUAUCCCAUGUAUUUCUUUCUUACUAUCCAUGAAGCAUGUCUUGUGUUAAUUAGUAUCCCAUGCAUUUCCCCUUUUGGUUGAUUUUUUCAAUAGCUUUCUUUGGGUAUAAUAUUGUGUUUAAAGAUUUGGGCUCUUUGGUGAUUAAAUAAUUGAUUUAUGCUUUAAAAGUUAUAAGUUAUAGCUAUCUGACAUUCUGUUACGAAUUGACCUCAAAUUGUUUUUUAAACAGAUGAAGAAUGUGAUGUAGAUUAAAGAACGUGUUGUUGAAGAAUUGUGGAGCCAGCUGAAAAGAUAGAUUAUAUUUUUAUUGUUGGUGCAUAGCUAGAGACGUUUUAACCUAUGCAACUAUUUCAUUUUCUCAAUUUUUAGGAUUCGAUAGAUGUCGAACAUGUAUGUUAUAAUAUUAUGUCGAACAUCUAUGUUGUUUAGAUCUUAUGUUGAACAUCUAUGUUUUUUAGAUAUUGUGUUGAACGCACAGAUUUAUAUGUAUGUUUUCCAGUGUGUUUUCGUUCAUGGCAAAACAAUUAUGAAAUUUUAUAUUAAAUUUUUUAUGGCUUGUGAAAAAAAAGAAAUGAUAUUAAGAUUUGGAACUGCUUGAGGAACAUAAACACUAUAUAUAAUUAUUUGAAACUAAAUUUGUGAAACAAACUUGGUCGUUAAAUUUAUUAAAAUCAACGAAAGGAAUUUAAACUUGGUCGGUAAAAGUAAUGUAAUCAAUGAAAGAAAUUCUGACCACUAAAGGUACUUAUAACGAUUAGAAUUUUUUGUUUUACUUCAACGUUUAACAACCAAAAGGCCAUCAACAAAGGGAAUUUGUGGUCGUUGUUAGUAAAUGUAGCGACCGGAUUUAUCGUUGUCGUUAAGUGAUAUCUAAUGGCUAUGCAAUCCGAUCGUUAACCUUUAACGACGGAGCUUUUAAUGACCGGUGACGACCAAUUUUUUCCCGGUCGUUAUAGACCUUUAACGACUGGAUAUGGACUUUUAACGACCGGAUUUCCUUACGUUAAAAGGCCUUUUUCUUGUAGUGAAACCCUAAACCCUAAACCUUAAAAAACCUUAAAUCCUACAAUCCCUAAAAUAAACCCUAAAAAUUAUCUAAACCCCUACAAAACCCUAAGCUCUAAACUCUAAAUACAACAAAUCUAUAAACCCUAAACCUAAAAACACAAAAAAAACCUAAGCCUUAAAGCCUAAACCCUAAAAAAUCCUAUGAAACACUUAACCCUUAAAACCCUAAAAACACCCAAAAACCCCCUAAAUCUAAAAAAAACUCUAAGCUUUACACACUAUAAAGCCCUAAAUUGUAUAUGCUAAACCCUAAAAAACACAAAGACGAACCUAAGCCCUAAACUGUAAACCUAUAAAACCCUAAAAAACAUUAACCUAAAAAACCCAAAUCCCUAGACCCUAAAACCCUAGAUAAUACCCUUAAUCUAAAACCCUAAAACUAAAAAAAAACUAAGCCCUAAUCUCUAAACCCUAACCCAAAACCGUAAAUCCUAAACCUAAAACCCUAAGAAUCCUUAAACCCUAAACCUUAAAAAACCCUUAAUUCUUUAAAUCCAAAAAUAAACCAUAAAACCCAUUUAAAACCACUACGAAACCCUGAGCUCUAAACCCUAAAUUCUAAAAAUCUACAACCCUCAACCUAAAAAACACAAAAAUCCCUAAGCCCUAAAAAAAUCCUAAGAAACACUCAAUCCUUAAAAACCCUAAAAAAACCCAAAAAUCCCUAAAUGUAAAAAACUUCUAAGCUCUAAACCCUAUAAAGCCCUAAAUUGUAUAUGCUAAAUCCUAAAAAACACAAAAACCACUAAGCCCUAAACCCUAAUAAUGAAAAACCCUGCAAAACCAUAACUGUAAAGACCCUAAAAACCAACAUAAACCCUUUAAGCUAAAUCCCUAAACCUAUAAAACCCCUAAGCCCUAAACCCUAAAUCCUAAACCGAAAACCAUAAGAAACCCUAAACCCUAAACAUUAAGAAACCCUAGAUCCUAUAAACUCUAAAUAAACCCUAAAAAUCAUUAAAAACCCCUACUAAACCCUACGCUCUAAACCCAAAAUCCUAAAAAUCUGUAAACCCUAAACCUUAAAAAAAAUCAAAAAACCCAAAGCCUUAAACCUUAAACCUUAAACCCUUAAAACACCAAAGACACACUUGACCCUUACAAACCCUAAAAAUGCCAAACACCCCACAACCCCUAAACCUAAAAAAUACAAAAAAAAAAAAAACUAAGCCUUAAACCCUAGAUCCUAAAAAACCUUAAGAAACACUCAACCCUUAAAAAAUCUUAAAACCCAAAAACCCCCAAAACAAAAAAACUCUAAACCCUCAACCCUAUUAAGCCCUAAAUCGUUAUGCUAAACCCUAAAAAACUGUCACGACCCAAAAUGAGUCAUGAGUAGCACCCAUACUUAACCUCCUAAGUGGGUGAACCAAUGAAUCCAAACCCCAACAUUUAUUACUUGUUAAGCUUAUGAAAUACAAACCAUAAUGCGGAGGCUCAAUCUUAUUAAGGUAAGAAACAAAAAUUCACUAAAGUCUACUCUAUGUCAAUCCCAAAACCUGUAAUUCAUCACUUCAAGGACAUCUAAUCUCUAAAUACUAAGUCUAAGAGUAUCAAAGACAACAAGAUAAAUAAAUAAAAUAGUUUAUGUCUGAAAACUAAGGACAUCAUGCCAUGACCGAGAGAAUCCAACACAAGCUAGAAUGAAUAGCUCACCCUUAAGCUGAGGUGCUGGAGAUUGGCUAGGGUUGAAGGAAAGUUGAAGUCGUUGGUACACGCGCUGCACUCCACAAAAGGAAAACAAAGAAAAACACAAGUAGGGCUCAGUACAGGGCAACAUGUACUGAGUAGAUAUCAUGAGCCGACUCAAAAUAAUAACUAAUAUGCAUAAAGUAAUCGUAUAAAAUCAACUAUAGCACUAUGCAGGUGAUAAGAAACGAACAACAUGAACAAGUGACAACUGAAGAAAGUACGUAAUCAAUCACAAUAUCAAGCACACACACGAGGAUUUGUUCCUCGACACCACGCUGGUUUGGGAAAUGGGUUCUUUGAGAUUGAGUAAAUUGAGUUAAUUCAAUAUGUUUUCCUCUUUUAUGUUACAGUGUUGGAACGUGAAACCUCGAUCCAAUAAUACCAUGUCGGAAUGUCACACCCGAUCCAAUAAUACCGUGUCGGAAUGUGACACUCCGAUCAAAUAAUACCGUAUCGGAACGUGACACCCCGAUCCAAUAAUAUUUUUAAUUUAUCAUUUAUUAUCACCACUUUUCACUGCAUUAACAAUAUUUCAUCAAGCCUUAUUUAUUAAGGCAUCACUUCCAUAGAGAAGGUUCAAGAUUAUAAAUUUCACGGUCUCAGAAUUUCAGACCAAUCCCAAACAACACAUAGAUUAUUCAAACCAAACAACGAAGUACGUAGAGAAAUUCAUAAUAUCACUCAAUGCAUAGCAAUCACUAUUGAGAGUCUAUCUAUCAAAUAGAAUAAACCAUAACCUACCUCCACCGGAAAACCGAAGUCAAGCAAACUACUUCUCCAAUGCUUUUCCUUUCCUCAAUGCCUCUGAACCUUUCCAAUCUAUCAAGUAUCUAUGCAUAAUUUGUAAGUUAAUGAGUGUAUAAACACUUAUAUUAUUCUAUGUCUAUCCUAGACCUAAAAACACAACUAAUUCUAUAAUCAAUUUCUUAAAAUUCAAACCUAAGUGUAAGUCUUAUUAAUUCCUCCAAUUGGCAUAAAUUUAAUGAUAUUUGAAUAAUAUAAUACACCUCAUAUUUAAUUAUUUAUCUCAAUAAAACAAAACUUAAUCAUAAUGUGAUAAAUAUAAUAAGUAAAGAUCGGAGCCACAUGUUAUAGUUAACCGUGGCAUUGCUGUAUAUUGAAUAAUGGUUUCAUGAUUGAUAAAGUUCCUAAUUUCCACGUACAGAGAUUUGAGAUUUGCAAUGAUCUUAUCACCAUUGGUCAAUCAUUACUCAUUAUGGCCGAAACAUUAUUUUUUUCUCUUUUUCUUCCAAAACUCAACCGACCAGUACAUUAAUUUUUCACUUAUAACAACAAAUCAUUUGCACUUAUCUAUUACCUCACCUCACCCAAUAAUAACAAAUCACAAUUCAAGCUUCUAUAUCUAAUUAAUGUUACUAAAAAGAAUUUGAGAGAGUUCACUUGAAGCCGCCGUUUCAAAUUUGAUUUCGUUCCAUGCCGUUUUCUGUUUUUCUCCUCUUUCUUUCUUUUCUUUUCUUCUACAGAUUAUAUUUACCCUAAUUAUUAUAUGACUAAUUAUAAGAGUGUUGAAAGUGACCCACUAUUAAUUUUAAUGCUAUCUUAUUUAACCAUCAACUAUAUUAAAUAUUAAAAUUACCCCCUUACUUACAUAAUUAUAGUUACAAAUAAUCCAAAAUACCCAUUUAAAAUCUAUCGAAAGAGUCUUUGAUGAAAUAAAAAGCUCUAGUACUCAAAUGAACAAAUGGGUCUUUACAUUAGAUACCAAUUUACCCAUCGUUCGUCCUCGAACGAUCAAAAGAAGGGGAGGGUAAGAAAGGGUACCUAAAUCGAUAGUGGCCACAACAAGAAUUGAACCUUAACUAACCUCCACACCAUUAUAAUACACAUACCAUCAUAGGUUUUAUCAAGAUUCUGUUCUGACAACACAAUCUUUUCAUGAACCUAAGUUAUAAAAAUAUGAUCUUUAGACAUCGGGUACUCAUCAAGGGAGAAUUAAACUUAUCUAACCCAACUAAUGAAAAUAUUAAGUAGCCACCAAAAAAAAAAAUACACUGAAGCACAUAGAACAUUUAACAACACUGUCGAAGUACUAGAUCAAUAGUUGUGAUUAUAGACAACCCUUAAGAACAACAUAACUAGAUAUGAUGGUACCCACAUUCAACCACACAUAACCGAUAUAUGACCUCAAUGACAAGAUGAAUAUUAAGACUGUCGGACAACUAUAAAUACCCAUGGGAGAUCUAUAAAUUCUCAUAAGCAAAGAGGUAAAUGUAGAACCACUCAAAUACUUCAACUACUCUAAGACAACACUAAAUAUGUCAUAUCUAAAAUAACCAAGUUUGUCCAAACAUCCUACCCUACUCAGAGGGCAUCGUAGGAUCGGUACACCCGAUCCACCACUAGGGUUCAACCCACAUAAGUUAAAACAUGCAUGGGCAUAGAUAGUGAAUCACACUUCAAAUCAAGUCCAGGACUAAAUAGGUGGUCAGAUAAGAAUAUCCAGAAUAAAGGUCGAAUAACUCAAGAUACUCCUUAGAUAGUGCUCAUGUCAAACAUUUCCAUUCAUUUGACUCUAUAUCCUUGAUUUUUAGCCACCAACAAUCAACAAGUUUGGUCUUUAUUACAAUCAUACACAUAUUCGAUUUAUCAAAACCCUACAUACUUCUCAAAAUACUCAAUUGAAGCCAACACUCUUAAUACUAACAAACAUCAUAACUACACCGUCCAUUUACCAUACUCUCAAACUGUCACUCAUAUAAAAAUUUUCUUAGCAAACACAUUGUCGUCUCUAAUAAUUUCAAAUUAUGGCUCCCUCUCUUUCCAUUCAAACAUCCCAUGCUAGAUACGGCUUUCACCCGAGGCUGAUAGAACUAAUUUCAAAUCUAAUAGUACUCUCUCAUCGAGAUAGAGCUAUUGAAUCACACCCAAUGUCGACUCUACACAAUGUUUCAUAUACCUAGUUUCAAAUACCAUUCAAACCAUUAUACACCUCAUACCAACACUUAAGAAAUUCUUGGUCAAGUUUAUAUACUAGGAGCACAUAACCUCUAUUUACUAUCAAGUGUCUAUGUAACACAUCACAUUAGUGUGUGUAGUCCCAUUUAAAAUAGUAGUUUCAACCCCCCCGAAAUCCUUAAUAACCAUGUAUAAUUAUAGGUCCAGACUGUUGCGCAUUCAUAAGUCACCUACCAUUAUUUCAACAAUUUAGCCCCACAUAACAACACAUAAUCUUACACACAACAUUGCUUGUCACAAAAACCAAAACUCAAUCUUUAUAAAAGUUGAUGAUAAACCACUAGUAAGUAUGUACCAAACUAGUUCCAAAAAAGACAAAAAAAAACCUUAAGCCCUAAACCUUAAACCCUAAAAAUCCCUAAGAAACACUUAAUCCUCAAAACCCCUAAAAAACACAAAAACCCCUAAACCUAAAAAACUCUAAGCUCUAAACUCUAUAAAGCCCUAAAUCUUAUAAGUUAAACCGUAAAAAACACUAAAAGUCGCUAAUCCCUUACCCUAAAAAAACCAUAAUCUAAAAAAUCUAACCCCUAAACCCUAAAAACGUAGAUAAAACCUUUAAUCUAAAACCCUAAACAAAAAAAAAUCAUAAGCGCUAAACCCUAAUCUAAAACCAUGAAUCCUAAACUUAAGACCCUAAGAAACCCUAAACCUAAAGGAACCCUAAAUCCUAUAAACUCUAAAAUAAACCUUAAAAACCAUUCAAAACCCCUACAAAACCCUAAGCUCUAAACCCUAAAUACUAAAAAUCCAUAAACCCUAAACAUAAAAAACAUAAAAAAAAAACCUUAAGCCUUAAACCCUAAACCGUAAAAAACCCUAAGAAAUGCUUAACCCUUAAAAGCCUUAAAAAGCGAAAAUAUCCUAAAAAACUCUAAGCUUUAAACCCUAUAAAGGCCUAAAUCGUAUAUGCUAACCCUAAAAAACACACAAAAAAAAUCCGCGCCCUAAACCCUGAAUCUAUAAAAACCCUAAAAAACCCUUAACACAAAAAACCCAAAGCCCUAAACCAAAAUCCUUAGAUAAAACCCUUAAUCCUAAACCCUAAACCUAAAAAACCCCUAAAUUCUAUACCCUAAAACCCGAAGAAACUCUAAAACUUAAACCAUAAGAAACCCUGAAUCCUAUAAACCCUAAAAUAAACCCUAAAACACAUUUAAAACCCCUAAAACCUCUAGUCUCUAAACCAUAAAUCCUAAAAAUCCGUAACUUUAAAUAAAAAAAACACAAAAAAACCUAAGCGAUAAACCCUAAACCCUAAGAAACACUUAACCCUUAAAAACCCAAAAACCCCUAAACCUAAAAUAUUAUAAGCUCUAAACACUAUAAAGCCAUAAAUCGUAUAUGAUAAAUCCUAAAAAAUACAAAAAAACUCUAAGCCCUAAACCCUAAACCUAUAAAACCCUGAAAAACCGUAACUAAAAAAACCCUAAAAACCUAGAUAAAACCCUUAACCUAAAUCCCUACACCCUAAACCCUAAACCCUAACCUAAAACAGUAAAUCCUAAACGUAAAACCCUAAGAAACCCUAACUCAAAACCUUUAGAAACCCGAAAUCCUAUAAUCCCUAAAAAAAACCCUAAAAUCCAUUUAAAACCCCUACAAAACCCUAAGCUCUAAACCCUAAAUACUAAAAAUCCAUAAACCCUAAACAUAAAAAACAUAAAAAAAAANNNNNNNNNAAAAACCUUAGCCUUAAACCCUAAACCCUAAAAAAUCCUAAGAAAUACUAAACCCUUAAAACCCCUAAACCUAAAAAACUCUAAGCUAUAAAACCGAUAAAUCCCCAUAUUGUAUAUGCUAUAACCCAAAGAAACCUUAAACCCUAAACUAUAAGAAAUCCUAAAUCCUAUAAACCUUAAAAUAAACUCUCAAACCAUUUCAAACCCCUACAAAACCCUAAGUUCUAAACCCUAAAUCUUGAAAAUUCAUAAACCCUAAACCUAAAGAACACAUAAAAAACCCUAAGCCCUAGACCCUAAAAAACCGUAAGAAACACUUAAACCUUAAAAACCCUAAGAAACACUUAAACCUUAAAACCCUAAAAAACCCAAAACCCCCUAAACCUAAAAAAGUCCAAGCUCUAAACCCUAUAAAGCCCAAAUAGUAUAUGCUAAACCCUAAAACACACCAAAAAUAACCCUAAGACCUAAACCAUAAACCUAUGAAACCCUAAAAAACCUUAACCUAAAAUACCUAAGCCCUAAACCCUAAAAUAUAGAAAAAACCCAUAACCUAAAAACUACCUAAACCCUAAACCUUAGCCUAAAAAUCUUUAACCUAAACCUAAAACCCUCAGAAACCCUUAACCCUAAACCUUAAGAAACGCUAAGUCCUAUAAACCCUAAAAUAAACACUAAAAACAAUUUAACACCCCUAAAAAACCUAAGAUCUAAACCAUAAAUCCUAAAAUUCCAUAAACCCUAAACCUUAAAAACACAAAAAAAAAAAACCCUAAUCCAUAAACCCUAAAAUCCAUUUGAAAGCCCUACAAAAUCCUAAGCUCUAAACCCUAAAUCCUAAAAAUCCGUAAACCUAAACCUAAAAUAAACAAAAAAAACCCUAAGCCCUAAACUCUAAAAACCCUAAGAAACACUUAACCCCUACACACUCUAAAACCCCAAAAAAACCCUAAACCUAAAAACACUCUAAGCUCUAAACCCUAUUAAGCCCUAAAUCGUAUAUGCUAAACCCUAAAAAAUCCAAGAAAACCCCUACACCCUAAACUACAAAACCCUAAGAAACCUAAGCCUAAAAAACCCAAACCUUUAUCCAAAACCUAAAACCCUUAGAAACCUUAAAUCGUAAACCUUAAGAAACCCUAAAUCCUAUAAAACUUGGAAGGAACCCUAAAAUCCAUUUAAAACCCCUACAAAAUCCUAAGCUAUAAAUCAUAAAUCCUAAAAAUCUGUAAACCCUAAACCUAAAAAACAAAAAAAACGCUAACCCCUAAAUCCAAUAAACCCUAAGAAACACUUAACCCCUACACACCCUAAAAAACCCAAAAUCCCCUAAACCCAAUAAAUUCCAAGCUCUAAACCCUAUAAAGACUUAAAUCGUAUAUGUUAAACCCUAAGAAACACAAAGAGACCCUAAGGCCUAAACUCUAAACCUAUAAAACCCUAAAACAACCUUAACCUAAAACCCCCAAACCCCUUAACCCUAAAAACCUAGAUAAAACCCUUAACCUAAAACACUAAACAUAAAAAAUCCCUAAACCUAAACGGUAAAUCCUAACCUGAAACCCUAAAUCGUAAACCUAAAACACUAAGAAACCGUAAACCCUAAACAUUAAGAAACUCUAAAUCCUAUAAACACCAAAAUAAAAACUAAAACCAUUUAAAAAUCCUACAAAAUCCUAAACUCUAAAUCCUAAAUAUAUGUAAACCCUAUAACUAUAAAACACACAAAAAAAACCUAAGCCCUAAACCUUAAACCCUAAAAAACCCUAAAAAAUCCAAAACCCCUAAACCUUAAAAAACUCUAAGCUCUAAACCCUAUAAAGCCCUAAAUCGUAUAUGCCAAACCCUAAAAAACUCAAAAAAAUCCUAAGCACUAAACUCUAUACCUAUAAAACCCUUAACCUAAAAUACCCAAAGCCCUAAACCGUAAAAACCUAGAUAGAACCCUUAAUCUAAAAUCCUAAACCUAAAAAAAACCUAAGCCCUAAACCCUAAACCCUAACCUAAAACCCUACGAAACCCUAAACUUUAAGAAACUCUAUAUCCAAUAAACCUAAAAUAAACCCUAAAACCAUUAAAAAUGCCUAAAAACCUUAAACUUUUUAAAAAAACCUAAGCCCUAAACCAUAAACCCUAAAAAACCCUAAGACACACUUAACCCUUAAAACCACUAAAAAACACAAAACCCCCUAAACCUAAAAAAUUCUAAGCUCUAAGCUCUAUAUCUUAUAUUUUAAACCUUAAAAACCACAAAAAAAAAAUCCCUAAGCCCUAAACCCUAAACCUAAAAAACCUUAAUCUAAAAAACACAAAGCCCUAAACCCUAAAAACCUAGAUAAAACCCUAAACCUAAAAUAACCAUAAGCCCUAAACCCUAACCUAAAGCCAUAAAUCCAAAACCUACAACCCUAAGAAACCCUAAACUUAAGAAACCUUAAACCUUAUAAACUCUAAAAUAAACCCUAAAAACCAUUCAAACCCCCUACAAAACCCUAAAUCCUAAAAAUAGGUAAACCUUAUACCUAUAAAACAUUAAAAAAAAAACUGUAAGCCCUAAACCCUAAACCCUAAAAAACCCUAAGAGAUACCUAACCCUUAAAAGCCUUAGAAAUCGAAAAACCCGUAAGCCUAAAAAACUCUAAGCUCUAAACCCUAUAAAGCGCUAAAUCCUAUAUGCUAAACCUUAAAAAAAAACACAAAAAUCCCUAGCUAUAAACCCUAAAUCUAUAAAGCCCUAAAACAACCUUAACGAAAAAAACCUAAAACCCAACAUAAAACCCUAAACCUAAAACCCUAAGAAACCCUAAACCUUAAAGCAUAAGAAACCCUAAAUCCUAUAAACCCUAAAACCCAUUUAAAACCCCUACAAAACCCUAAUCUCUAAACCUUAAAUCCAAAAAUUUUGUAACCCUAAACAACAAAACCACAAAAAACCCUAAGCCAUAAACCCUAGACCUUUUAAAACCCUAAGAAACACUUAAACCAUAAAAACCCUAAAAAAAAACCAAAAACCUCUAAACCUAAAAUAGUAUAAGCUCUAAACCCUAUAAAGCUCUAAAUUGUAUAUGCAAAUUCCUAAAAAUCACAAACAAACACUAAGCCCUAAACCCUAAACCCUAAACCUAUAAAACCUUGAAAAACCUUAACCUAAGAAACCCUAAAAACCUAGAUAAAACCCUUUUCCUAAAUCCCUCAACCUAAAAAAACCCUAAGCCCUAAACCCUAAACCCUAAACCCUAACUUAAAACCGUAAAUUCUAAUCCUAAAACCCUAAGAAACCCUAAACAAUAAACCUUUAGAAACCCUACAUCCUAUAAUCCCUUAAAAAACCCUAAAAACCAUUUAAAACCCCUACAAAACCCUAAGCUCUAAACCUUAAAUACUAAAUAUAUGUAAACCCUAAACCUAAAAAGCACAAAAAAAAACUAAGCCCUAAACCCUAAAAAUCCCUAAGAAACACUUAACCCUUAAAACCCCCAAAACCCCUAAACCUAAAAAACCUCUAAGCUCUAAAACCUAUAAAGCCCCAAAUUGUAUAUGCUAAAACCCUAAGAAACCCUAAAUCCUAUAAACCUUAAAAUAAACCCUAGAACCAUUUAAAACCCCUACAAAACCCUACUCUCUUAAACCAAAAUCCUAAAAAUCCAUGAACCCUAAACCUAAAAAACACAAAAAAAUGCUAAGCCCUAAACCCUAAACCCUAAAAAAUCCUAAGAAACACUUUAACCUUAAAAACCCUACAAAACACUAAAAAACCCAAAACCCCUAAAAAACUCCAAGCUCUAAACCCUUUGAAGCCCUAAAUCGUAUAUGAUUAACCCUAAAACACAAUAAAAAAGCCCUAAGCCUUAAACCCUAAACCUCUAAAAACCUUAACCUAAAAAACCCUAAGCCCUAAACCCUAACAAAAUCCAUAACCUCAAACCCUAAACCCUAAAUCCUAACCUAAAACCCUAUAUCUUAAACCUAAAACCCUAAGAUACCCAUAACCCUAAUCCUAACCUAAAACCCUAUAUCUUAAACCUAAAACCCUAAGAUACCCAUAACCCUAAACCUUAAGAAACCAUAAGUCCUAUAAACCCUAAAAUAAACACUAAAAACCAUUUAAAACCCCUACAAAACCCUAAUCUCUUAACCACAAAUCCUUAAAGUCCGUAAACCCAAAUCCUAAAAAGUAUAAAAAAAACCCUAUACCAUAAACCCUAAACCCUAUAACACCGUAAGAAACACUUAACCCAUAAAACCCUAAAAAACCCCUAAACCUAAAAAACACUAAGCUCUAAACCCUAUAAAGCCUUAAAUCGUAUACACUAAACCCUAAAAAACACAAUAUAACCCUAAUCCCUAAACCCUAAACCUAUAAGACCCUAAAAACCUUAACCUAAAAAACCCAAAAGCCCUAAACGCUAAAAAACAAGAUAAACCCUUAACCUAAAACACUAAACCUAAAAAAAACCCAAAGCCCUAAACUCUAAACCCUUAACUAAAACCAUAAAUCCUAUAACUGAAGCCCUAAGAAACCCUAAAUAAUAUGAACCCUACAAAACCCUAAGAUCUAAACCCUAAAUCCUAAAAAUCCGUAAACCAAAACCUAAAAACACACAAAAAACACUAAGCCCUUAACCAAAAACCAUAAAAACCCCAAAGAAACACUUCACCCUUAAAAACCCUAAAAACACACAAAAAACCCCUAAACCUAAAAAAACUCUAAGCUCUAAACCCUAUAAAGCCCUAAAUACUAUAUGCUAAACUCUAAAAAAAACACAAAAAAUCCCUAAGCCCUAAACCUAUAAAAUCCUAAAAAACAUUAACCUAAAAAUCCCAAAGCCCUAAACCCUAAAAACCUAGAUAAAACCCUUAACCUAAAAUCCUAAACCUAAAAAAAGCCUAAGCCCUAAACCCUAAACCCUAACCUAAAACCCUAAGAAACCCUAAACCCUAAUCAUAAACCCAAAACCCUAAGAAACCCUAAACCCUAAACCUUAAGAAACCUUAAAUCCUAUAAUCCAAAAAAUAAACCGUAAAAAUUAUAUAAACCCCGACAAAAUGCUAAGCUCUAAACCCUAAAUCCUAAGAAUCCAUAAACCCUAGGCCCUAAACCCUAAACCCUAAAAAACCCUUAAAAAAACCCAAAAAACGCUAAAUCUAAAAAACUCUAAGCUCUAAACACUAUCAAGCACAAAAUAAUAUACGCUAAACCCUAAAAAUCACAAAGGAGAACCUAAGCCCUAAAUUUAAAUCCUAUAAAACCCUAAAAAACCAUAACCCAAAAUACCCAAAUCCCUAAACCCUAAAACCCGAGAUAAUACCCAUAACAUAAGACCCUAAAACUAAAAAAAACCCUAAGCCCUAAUCCCUCAACCCUAACCCAAAACCCUAAAUCCUAAACCUCAAACCCUAAGAAACCUUAAACCCUAAAAACCCUAGAAAAAAUCCUAUAAACUCUAAAAUAAAUCAUAAAAACCAUUUAAAACCCCUACGAAACCCUAAUCUCUAAACCCUAAAUUCUAAAAAUCUAUAACCCUCAACCUAAAAAACACAAAAAAAUCCUAAGCCCUAAGCCUUAAACCAUAAAAAAUUCCUAAUAAAUACUUAACCCUUAAAAACCCUAAAAAACCCAAAAACCCUUAAACGUAAUAAAUUCUAAGAACUAAACCUUAUAAAGCCCUAAAUUGUAUAUGCUAAAUCCUAAAAAACACAAAAAACCCUAAUCCCUAAACCCUACAAAACCAUAACAUUAAAGACCCUAAAAACCUAGAUAAACCCCUUAAGCUAAAUCCCUAAACCUAAAAAUCCCUAAUCCCUAAACCCUAACCUAAAACGCUAUAUCCUAAACCUAAAACCAUAAAACCUAAACCUUAGGAAACCCUAAAUCCUAUAAACCCUAAAUAAACCCUAAAACCAAUCUAAAAACACUACAAAACCCAAAGCUCUAAACUCUAAAUCCUAAAAAUCCAUAAACCCUAAACCUAAAAAACAGAAAAAACUCUAAGCCCUAAACCACAAACCCUUAAAACCCCCAACAAACACUUGGCCCUUACAAACCCUAAAAACCCCAAAAACCCAUAAACCUUAAAAACUCUAAGCUCUAAACCCUAUAAAGCCCUAAAUUGUAUAUGCUAAACCCUAAAAACACAAAAAAAAACCUAAGCCCCAAAUCCUAAACCUCUAAAACCCUAAAAACCCUUAAUAUAAGAAAACCAAAGCCCUAAACCUUAAAAACUUACAUAAAACCCUAUACCUAAAACCCUAAACCUAAAAUAUCCUAAGCCCUAAACCCUAAAUCCUAACCUAAAACCCUAAAUCCUAAACCUAAAACCCUAAAUCCUAUAAAAACCUGAAAACCAUUUAAAACGUCUACAAAACCCUAAUCUCUAAACCCCAAAUCAUAAAAAUCCAUAAAUCCUAUACCUAAAAAAAUACAAAAAAAAAACUAAGCCCUAAAACCUAAACAACCCUAAGAAACACUUAACCCUUAAAAAACCUUAAAACCCAACCCCCCCCCCCUCAAAACUAAAAAUUAUAUACUCUAAAUCCUAUUAAGCCUAAAAUCGUAUAUGCUAAACCCUAAAACACAAAAAAAAAAACCUAUCCCCUAAAUCCAAAACCUAUAAAACCCUAAAAAACCCAAAGCCCUAAACCUUAAAAACCUAGAUAAAAUCCUUACCCUAACACCCUAGGCCGUAAAUCUUAAACCAUAACCUAAAACCCUAAAUCCUAAACCUAAAACCCUAAGAAACAAUCAAGCAACCGCCUUAAGUUUUAGAUAGACUCUAGAUUAGUUUUUCCAUUCGUUUUCCAUGUAAGGGGAGAGUCUCCCUAGUUUAUUGCUUACUAGUUAUGAUGUAUGGAGAGGAGUCCUCUCCUCUAGGUGCAUAGUUAGUAGGUUCCUUUUCUAGUACGGGGAUGAGUCGACUAGCCUUUAUAGGAAGGUUGACACAUGUACCACCAUAGGUUCAGAGGUAAGGUUUAUGUCCCCCUCCUUGUAUUUUUGUUUUGUUAUUAAUGCUAAGGCCUGGAGGUGUUGCUAAGCCCCUGACCCCCCCAAGGGUCGUUCAAAUAAAAAAUAAAAAAUAAAAAAAACCUUAAGAAACCCUAAACCCUAAACCUUACGAAAUUCUAAAUCCUAUAAACCCUCUAAACCAUAUAUAACCACUAAGAAAUCCUAAACCCUAAAUCCAAAAAAUCUAUAAACUCUAAACCUAAAAAACACAAAAAAUCCCUAAGCCCUAAACCUUAAACCCUAAGAAACACUUAACCCUUAAAAACCCAAAAACCCAAAAACCCCUAAACCUAAAAAAAAUCUAAGCUCUAAACCCUAUAAAGACCUAAAUCGUAUAUGCUAAACACUAAAAAACACAAAAAAAAACCUAAGCCAUAAACCCUAAACUUAUUAAAACCUAAAAAACGUUAACCUAAAAAACCAGAAGCCCUAAACCCUAAAAACCUAGAUAAAAUCCUUAACCUAAAACCCUAAACCUAAAAAAAACACUAAGCCCUAAACCCUAAAUCCUUACCUAAAACCCUAAAUCCUAAAUCUAAAAGCCUAAGAAACCCUAAACCUUAAGAAAACUAUAUCCUGUAAACCCUAAAAACCUUUUAAAAUUCCUACAAAACCCUAUACACACAAUGGCUGCGAUAUCACCUCCAAAUACUACUAUCAAGUACGUUGAGUCUAUCAUUGCAAAUUUCUUUUAGGGGAGAGAUCAGGAUAAAAGGAAGUAUCAUUGGGCUUCUAUGGAGACCAUGAUUUUACCUUAUGCUGAAGGAGGAGCGGGUCUUAGAAAACUUACAGAUAUUUGUACUUCUCUCCAGUUUAAGCAAUGGUGGGUCUUUCGAUCUAAAUCUUCUUUAUGGAGUCAGUUUCUUAAAGCAAAAUAUUGUCAGAGGGCUAAUCCAGUUGCAAAAAAGGUGGAUACUAAGGAAUCAUUGGUAUGGAGGUACAUGAUGAAGAAUAAAGACAAAGUAGAAGAACAUAUCACUUGGAAAAUCAGUUCUGGCAGUUGCUCCUUUUGGUGGGAUGAUUGGUUGGGGGGGGGGUGCUAGCUAAGCAUUCCAGUUAUAUUUCAAGCCUCAACAAUGCUACUGUUGCUCAAUUCUUGGUUGAUGGUAAAUGGAAUGAGAGGAAGCUGAGGCAGCAGGUUCCACCUUUGCUCAUCCCACAUAUUUUGAACUAUACGUUUCAAUAUCAACAAGGAGUUCCUGAUAUAGCAAUCUGGAGGCCAAAUGAAAAUGGAAAGUUCACUUGUGCUUCAGCUUGGGAAAUCUGUAGACAUAGGAAUCAUAUUGCAGGGAUAAAUUCUCAGAUUUGGCAUAAACAUAUUCCUUUCAAAAUGUCCUUUCUCCUAUGGAGGGCUUUGAGGAAUAAAUUGCAAACCAAUGUGGCAUUAGGGAAGUUUGGUGUGGAGCCUGUGAGAUGCUUUUGUUGUUAUCAGCAAGGAUGGGAUGAAGUGGAUCAUAUCUUCAUACAAGGACAUUUUGCAGCUCAUAUCUGAAAAUAUUUUUCAAAUAUUUUGGGUAUUGAUGUGCAACAGACUUCCCUAAAUAGCUACCUAUUAAAUUGGUGUGGCAGUCAAGGUAAAAAUGAAGCUCACAAGACCAUUAUUCAGACUCCCUAUAGUUAUAUGCUGGAACCUAUGGAAAAAUAGAUGUUCAGUCAAGUAUGGGGGGAAAGAUAUCUAGCAUCAGCAAAGUUAAUUACUUGAUAAUUAAAGACAUGUUUUAGCUUCUCAGAUCUGUAUUUCCUUACAUUCAGUGGCCAAUGCAGUGGCCAGAAGUUGUUGACAAGUUAGAGCAAAGUAAACAUGAGGGUAGAGUCAUCUCAGUCAUUUGGAAACCUCCCCCUAUUUCUCGAUAUAAACUUAACACUGAUGGCAGUGCUUUGCACAAUCCGGGGAAGAUUGAGGAGGGGGGGGGGUAUUCUAAGGGACUCUAAUGGGAAUAUUAUAUAUGUUUUUGCUAUACCUUUGGGUGAAGGGACCAACAAUCAUGCAGAAGUUCAGGCUGCCAGUUAUGGGAUCAACUGGUGCAUUCAACAUGGGUAUAAAAACAUUAUUUUAGAAGUGGAUUCUGAAUUGCUAACUAAAUGGUUUUUGCAGAUUUCUGAUCCUCCUUGGAGGAUUUCCAGGUUUGUGCAGGAACUACAAAGUUUAGCUAAUCAGUGUGAACUUUUUCAAUGUAUUCAUACUUACAGAGAGGCCAAUAGUACAGCAGAUUGGUUGUGUAAACAAAGUCACAAACAAGAUAUCAUCCAACAUUAUUACAUUCCCAACCAAUUACCAAAAGCAGCAAGAGGAAGUUAUAUUCUGGAGAAAAUGGGCAUGCCAAGUUUCAGAAGGAAACACUUGAGAAGGAUUAAAAUUACUCCUUGACUUUUUGUUCCUUUCAACACACCUCCUUGAAUUUCUAUUUUUUUUCUUUCACCUUAACUAUGUUUUGCUUAGUUUGGUUGUUUGCUUAGGAACAGGAGCUCCAAGUGGUGUUUAUAAAUGGGCAUUCUUCCAUAAACAUCAUAUAGCAGGAAGUAUCUCCAACCAAAGUUCCAAACAUCUAAUUUUCGAUGAUCAAAACUAGUGCGGCAAGAGGAGUUAUUUGCAGAUCUGGAUCAUAAACUAAAGAGCAUAUAAUUACACUUCCUGCAAUUUGAUUCAUGUGAUACAUUCUUUUCGAAUUAGCUAUAUCUUUAGGUAUAGUUGUUUGAUUAGGCCUAGUUUUUUUUAUUCUCUUCUUGUAAGGGGAGAGUCUCCCUUAUUUAUGUAUUAUUAGUAACUUUGUAUUAAGAGAGGAGUCCUCUCUAGGUGCUUAGUUUAAUUUUACAUCUUAUUGUAUAGGGUGGAGUCGACUAACCUUAGUAGGUAGGUCGACUCUUCACCCACCUUAGGAUUGGAGGUAAGUUAUAUGCCCCCCUCCUUCUAUAUUUUGAAUUUUAUAUAUGAUAAGCCCUGGGGGUGCUGCUCAGCCCCUGACUCCCUCAAAGGUCGUUCAAAUAAAAAAAUAAAAAAUAAAAAACCCUAAGAAACACUUAACCUUCAGAAACCCUAUAAAAACACAAAAACCCUUAAACCUAAAAGACUCCCAGCUUUAAAGUACUCUAUAAAGCCCUAAAUCUUAUAUGUUAAACCUUAAAAAAUACAAAAAGUCCCGAAUCCCUAAACCCUAAAAAAACCAUGAUCUACAAAACCAUGAUCUAAAAAACCUAAGCCAUAAACCCUAAAAUCCUAGAUAAAACCCUUAACCUAAAAGCCUAAACCUUAAACCCUAACCUAAAACCAUAAAUCCUAAAUCUAAGACCCUAAGAAACCCUAAACCCUAAACCUUAAGAAACCCUAAAUCCUAUAAACUCUAAAAGAAACCCUAAAAACCAUUCAAAACGCCUACAAAACUCUAAGCUCUACACCCUAAAUCCUAAAAAUCUGUUAACCCUAAGCAUAAAAAAUAUUUUUAAAAAAUCCCUAAAGCCUAAACCGUAAAAAAUCCUAAGAAAUGCUGAACCCUUAAAAGCGUUAAAAACCGACAAAUCCCUUAACUUAAAAACCUCUAAGCUCUAAACCCUCUAAAGCCCUAAAUCGUGUAUGCCAAACCCUAAAAAACAGACAAAAAAAACCCUAAACCCUAAAUCUAUAAAAUCCUAAAAAAACCUUAACACAAAAAACCCAAAGCCCUAAACCUAAAACCCUAGAUAAAACCCUUAACCUAAAACCCUAAACCUAAAAAACCUCUAAAUUCUAUAACCUAAAACCCUAAGAAACUCUUAAACUUAAACCAUAAGAAACACUAAAUCCUAUAAAUCCUAAAAUAAACCCUAAAACACAUUUAAAACCCCUAGUUUCUAAAUCCUAAAAAUCCAUAACCCUAAACAAAAAAACACAAAAAACCCUAAGCCAUAAACCCUAAACCCUAAAAAACCUUAAGAAACACUUAACCCUUAAAACCCCUAAAAACCCCUAAACCUAAAAUAUUAUAAGCUCUAAACCCUAUAAAGCCCUAAAUCGUAUAUUAUAAAUCCUAGAAAAUACAAAAAACCCUAAGCCCUAAACCCUAAACCUAUAAAAUCCUGAAAAACAUUAACCUAAAAAACUCUAAAAACCAAGAUAAAAUCCUUAACCUAAAUCCCUACACCCUAAACCCUAACGAAAAACAGUAACUCCUAAACCUAAAAGCCUAAGAAACCCUAAACCCUAACCCUUUAGAAACCCUAAAUCCUAUAAUACCUAAAAAGACCUAAAAUUCAUUUAAAACCCCAACAAAACCCUAAGCUCUAAACCUUAAACCCUCAAAAUCCGUAAACUCUAAACCUAAAAGCCACAGAAAAAAACCCUAAGCCUUAAACCCUAAACCCUAAAAACCCUCAGAAAUACUAAACCCUUAAAACCCAUAAGCCUAAAAAAAUCUAAGCUAUAAAACCUAUAAAUCCCAAAAUCGUAUAUGCUAUAACCCUAAGAAACCCAAAACCUUAAACCAUAAGAAAUCCUAAAUCCUAUAAACCUUAAAAUAACCCAUAAAACCAUUUAAAACCCCUACAAAACCCUAAGCUCUAAACUCUAAACCUAAAAUCUGUAAACCCUAAACCUACAAAACACAAAAAACCGUAAGAGCUAAACCCCAAACCCUAAAAAACCCUAAGAAACAGUUAAACCUUAGAAACCCUAAAAAAACCCUAACAAACACUUUAACCUUAAAACCAUAAAAACACAAAAACCUCUAAACAUAAAAAAUUCCAAGCUCUAAACACUAUAAAGGCCUAAAUAGUAUAUGCUAAACCCUAAAACACACCAAAAAAAAAUCCUAAGCCCUAAACCCUAAACCUAAAGAACCGUAACAUAAAAUCCCAAAGCCCUAAACCCUAAAACUUAGAUAAAACCCUUAACCCAAAAAAUCCCUAAGUCCUAAACCCUAUACACUAACCUAAAACCCUAAAUCCUAAACCUAAAACCCUAAGAAACCCUUAACCAUAAACCUUAUGAAACCCUAAAUCCUAUAAACCCUAAAAUAAACACUAAAAACCAUUUAACACCCCUAAAAAACCCUAAGAUCUAAACCAUAAAUCCUAAAAUUCCAUAAACCCUAAACCUUAAAAUCACAAAAAAAAACCUAAGCCAAAAACCCUAAAUCCUAUAAAACCCCAAGAAACACUUAACUCUUAAAACCCUAAACCAAAAAAACUCUAAGCUCUAAACCCUAUAAAGCCCUAAAUAGUAUAUGCUAAAUUCUAAAAAAUAAAAUGUAACCGUAAGCCUUAAACCCUAAACAUAUGAAACCCUAAAAAACCUUACACUAAACCACUAUCCCUAAACCCUAAAAAAUUAGAUAAAACCCUUAACCUAAAACACUAAACCUAAAAAAACCCUAAGCCCUAAACCCUAAACCCUAAAUCUUAAACCUAAACGCCUAAGAAACCCUAAAUAAUAUAAACCCUAAAAUAAACCUUAAAACCAUUUAAAACCCCUACAAAACCCUAAGAUCUAAACCCAAAUCCUAGUAAUCCGUAAAUCCAAAACCUAAAACCCCAAAAAACCCUAAGAAACACUUAACCCUUAAAAACCCUAAAAACAUAAAAACCCCUAAACCUAAAAAACUCUAAGCUCAAAACCCUAUAAAGCCCAUAAAUGCCUAAAUUGUAUAUGCUAAACCCUAAAAAACACCAAAACCUCCUAAUCCCUAAACCCUAUACACUAACCUAAAACCCUAAAUCCUAAACCUAAAACCCUAAGAAACCCUUGACCCUAAACCUUAAGAAACCCUAAAUCCUAUAACCCCUAAAAUAAACACUAAAAACCAUUUAAAACCCCUACAAAAUACUAAUCUCUUCACAACAAUUCCUUAAAGGCCGUAAACCCUAAACCUAAAAAACACAAAAAACCCUAAACCAUAAACCCUAAAACGUAUAAAACUCUAAGAAACACUUUACUCAUAAAACCCUAAAAAACCCAAAAACCCCUAAACCUAAAAAAUUCUAAGUUCUAAACUCUAUAAAGCCUUAAAUCAUAUAUGCCAAAGCCAAAAAAACACAAUAUAACCCUAAGCCCUAAAUCCUAAACCUAUAAAACCCUAAGCCCUAAACCUUAGAAAAACUAGGUAAAAUCCUUAACCUAAAACCCUAAACCUAAAAAAAUCCUAAUCGUAUAUCCUAAACCCUAAAAUACAGAAAAAAUCCCUAAGCCCUAAACUCUAAACCUAUAAAACCCUAAAAAACCCAAAGUCCUAUAUCCUAAAAUCCUAGAUAAAACCCUUAAGCUAAAACCCUAAACCUUAAAACAUCUUAAUCCCUAAACCCUAACCUAAAACCCAAAAUCUUAAACCUAAAACCCUAAGAAACCCUGAACUUUAAACCUUAAGAAACCCUAAAUUCUAUAGACCCUAAAAUAAACACUAAAAACCAUUCAAAACUCCUACAAAAUCCCAAGCACUAAACCCUAAACCCUAAAAAUUCGUAAACCCUAAACCUAAAAAAACACAAACAAACCUAAAAAAUAAUUAACCCUAUAAAGCACUAAAUCAUAUAUGCUAAACCCUAAAAACACAAAAAAAACCCUAAUCCCUAAACGUAUAAAACCCUAAAAAACCAAAAGCCCAAAACCCUAAAAAACUAAGUAAAAUCAUUAACCUAAAACCCAAAUCCUAAAAAAACCCUAACCUAAAACCCUAAAUCCGAAACCUAAAACCCUAAGAAAACCUAAACCCUAAACUUAAGAAAACCUAAAUGCUAUAAACCCUAAAAUAAACCCUAUAACCCAUUUAAAACCCCUACAAACUAUAAUCUCUAAACCCUAAAUCCGCAAAUAUCGUGAACCCUAAACCUAAAAACCAUUAAAAACCCUAAGCCCUACACCCUAAGAAACACUUAACCCUAAAAAACCCCUAAAUCGUAUAUGCUAAACCCUACAAAACACAAAAAAGAACCCUAAUCCCUAAACCCUAAACCCUAAACCUAUAAAAUCCUAAAGAACCUUAAUCUAAAAAAGCUAAUGCCCCAAACCCUAAGAACUAGGAUAAAACCCAUAACCUAAAACCUUAAAUCCAAAAAAACCUUAAACCCUAAACCCUUACCUAAAAUCCUAAAUCCUAAAACUUAAGACACCUGAAAUCCUAUAAACCUUAAAAACCAUUUACAACACCUACAAAACCCUAAGCUCUGAACCCUAAAUCCUAAAAAUCCGUAAACCAUAAAUCUAAAAAACACAAAAAAAAACCAAAGGCCUAAACACAUAACCCUUAAAACCCCUAUAAAACCCAUAAACCCCUAAACCUAAAGAAACUCUAAGCUCUAAAUUCUAUAAAGCCCUAUAUCGUAUAUGUCGAACCCUAAAAUAUACAAAAAUUUCCUAAGGCCUAAACUCUAACCCUAUAAAACCCUAAAAAACCUUAACCUAAAAAACCCAAAGCCCCAAACCCUAAAACCCAAGAUAAAACCCAUAACCUGAAACCUUCAACCUAAAAAACACUAAGCCCUAAACCCUAAACCAUAGCCUAAAACCCUUAAUCCAAAACCUAAAACCAUAAGAAACCCUACACCCUAAACCUUAAGAAACCCUAAUAUAUACCCUCAAACCAUUUACAACACCUACAAAACCCUAAGCUCUAAACCUUAAAUCCUAAAAAUUCAUAAAACCUAAAUAAAAAAAACACAAAAAAAAGUAAGCUCUAAACCCUAAACCCUAAAAAACCCCAAGAAACACUUAACACUUAAAACUAGUAAAAAACCAAAAAACCCCUAAACCUAAAAAAAACUCUAAGCUUUAAACCCUAUCAAGCCCUAAAUCGUAUAUCCUAAACCCUAAAAUACAGAAAAAAUCCCUAAGCCCUAAACUCUAAACCUAUAAAACCCUAAAAAACCUUAACCUAAAAAACCAAAAGCCCUAAACCCUAAGAAACACUUAACCAUUAAGCUAAAACCCUAACCCCUAAACCAUAAACUGAAACCCUAAAUCCUAAACCUAAAACCCUAAGAAACCCUAAACUCUAAACCUUAAGAAACCCUCAAUCCUAUAUACCUAAAAUAAACCAUAAAAACCAAUCAAAACCCCUACAAAACCUUAAGCGCUAAGCCCUUAAUCCAAAAAAUCCAUAAACCCUAUACCUAACAAAACAAGAAAAAAAACCUUAAGCCUAAAACCCUAAACCCUAAACCUAAAAUACAACUAACACCCCAACCCCUAAACCUUAUACCCUAAAAAUCCCCAAGAAAAACUUAACCCUUAAAACCCCUAAAAAGCCCCUAAACAUAAAAAAAACUCUAGGCUAUAAACCUUAUAAAGCCCUAAAUCGUAUAUGCUAAAGCCUAAAAAACACAAAAAAAAACCUAAUCCCUAAACCCUAAACCUAUAAAACCCUAAAAAACCUUAACCUAAAAAACCAAAAGCCCUAAACCCUAAGAAACACUUAACCAUUAAGCUAAAACCCUAACCCCUAAACCAUAAACUGAAACCCUAAAUCCUAAACCUAAAACCCUAAGAAACCCUAAACUCUAAACCUUAAGAAACCCUCAAUCCUAUAUACCUAAAAUAAACCAUAAAAACCAAUCAAAACCCCUACAAAACCUUAAGCGCUAAGCCCUUAAUCCAAAAAAUCCAUAAACCCUAUACCUAACAAAACAAGAAAAAAAACCUUAAGCCUAAAACCCUAAACCCUAAACCUAAAAUACAACUAACACCCCAACCCCUAAACCUUAUACCCUAAAAAUCCCCAAGAAAAACUUAACCCUUAAAACCCCUAAAAAGCCCCUAAACAUAAAAAAAACUCUAGGCUAUAAACCUUAUAAAGCCCUAAAUCGUAUAUGCUAAAGCCUAAAAAACACAAAAAAAAACCUAAUCCCUAAACCCUAAACCUAUAAAACCCUAAAAAACCUUAACCUAAAAAACCAAAAGCCCUAAACCCUAAGAAACACUUAACCAUUAAGCUAAAACCCUAACCCCUAAACCAUAAACUGAAACCCUAAAUCCUAAACCUAAAACCCUAAGAAACCCUAAACUCUAAACCUUAAGAAACCCUCAAUCCUAUAUACCUAAAAUAAACCAUAAAAACCAAUCAAAACCCCUACAAAACCUUAAGCGCUAAGCCCUUAAUCCAAAAAAUCCAUAAACCCUAUACCUAACAAAACAAGAAAAAAAACCUUAAGCCUAAAACCCUAAACCCUAAACCUAAAAUACAACUAACACCCCAACCCCUAAACCUUAUACCCUAAAAAUCCCCAAGAAAAACUUAACCCUUAAAACCCCUAAAAAGCCCCUAAACAUAAAAAAAACUCUAGGCUAUAAACCUUAUAAAGCCCUAAAUCGUAUAUGCUAAAGCCUAAAAAACACAAAAAAAAACCUAAUCCCUAAACCCUAAACCUAUAAAACCCUAAAAAACCUUAACCUAAAAAACCAAAAGCCCUAAACCCUAAGAAACACUUAACCAUUAAGCUAAAACCCUAACCCCUAAACCAUAAACUGAAACCCUAAAUCCUAAACCUAAAACCCUAAGAAACCCUAAACUCUAAACCUUAAGAAACCCUCAAUCCUAUAUACCUAAAAUAAACCAUAAAAACCAAUCAAAACCCCUACAAAACCUUAAGCGCUAAGCCCUUAAUCCAAAAAAUCCAUAAACCCUAUACCUAACAAAACAAGAAAAAAAACCUUAAGCCUAAAACCCUAAACCCUAAACCUAAAAUACAACUAACACCCCAACCCCUAAACCUUAUACCCUAAAAAUCCCCAAGAAAAACUUAACCCUUAAAACCCCUAAAAAGCCCCUAAACAUAAAAAAAACUCUAGGCUAUAAACCUUAUAAAGCCCUAAAUCGUAUAUGCUAAAGCCUAAAAAACACAAAAAAAAACCUAAUCCCUAAACCCUAAACCUAUAAAACCCUAAAAAACCUUAACCUAAAAAACCAAAAGCCCUAAACCCUAAGAAACACUUAACCAUUAAGCUAAAACCCUAACCCCUAAACCAUAAACUGAAACCCUAAAUCCUAAACCUAAAACCCUAAGAAACCCUAAACUCUAAACCUUAAGAAACCCUCAAUCCUAUAUACCUAAAAUAAACCAUAAAAACCAAUCAAAACCCCUACAAAACCUUAAGCGCUAAGCCCUUAAUCCAAAAAAUCCAUAAACCCUAUACCUAACAAAACAAGAAAAAAAACCUUAAGCCUAAAGCCCUAAACCCUAAACUUAAAAUACAACUAACACCCUAACCCCUAAACCUUAUACCCUAAAAAUCCCCAAGAAAAACUUAACCCUUAAAACCCCUAAAAAGCCCCUAAAUAUAAAAAAAACUCUAGGCUAUAAACCUUAUAAAGCCCUAAAUCGUAUAUGCUAAAGCCUAAAAAACACAAAAAAAAACCUAAUCCCUAAACCCUAAACCUAUAAAACCCUAAAAAACCUUAACCUAAAAAACCAAAAGCCCUAAACCCUAAGAAACACUUAACCAUUAAGCUAAAACCCUAACCCCUAAACCAUAAACUGAAACCCUAAAUCCUAAACCUAAAACCUUUAGAAACCCUAAACCCUAAGAAACUCUAAAUCCGAUACCUUAAUAUAAACACUAAAACCCAUUUACAACACCUACAAAACCCUAAGCUCUAAACCUUAAAUCCUAAAAAUUCAUAAAACCUAAAUAAAAAAAACACAAAAAAAAAAACUAAGCUCUAAACCCUAAACCCUAAAAAACCCCAAGAAACACUUAACACUUAAAACUAGUAAAAAACCAAAAAACCCCUAAACCUAAAAAAAACUCUAAGCUUUAAACCCUAUCAAGCCCUAAAUCGUAUAUCCUAAACCCUAAAAUACAG